Molecule: long non-coding RNA, 60408 nt
Filed under: Oryza sativa (Asian cultivated rice)
Lineage: Eukaryota; Viridiplantae; Streptophyta; Magnoliopsida; Poales; Poaceae
Description: long non-coding RNA (OSAT_LNC000958)
Source: RNAcentral
CGUUCUGCAUGUACUCCUAUGCGUUGUACCUGCACGAGAUUCCUCUAUCGUCUAUGGGGGAAUGGUUAGCGAAUAGCAGUUGUACAAAUCAUACCUCGGGUUAGGUAACGGGAGUUCACUUGUACAACCGGGAUAGAAAAAUAUUAAAGAUCCAUCCGCUCCAUGCUUAAGAGUAUGUCCUUGCACUAGAUAUGAUUCAUCGAUAUAAACACGAGGGGUUGAAAUGUAAGCAAUUUGUUCAUUUGAAAUAACCCCAAACCCUCUUGCUAUACGAGUGAUCAAAGAAGUGCAUUCAAUAGGAGCGUAGAACUUUAUACUUUAUAGCCAUUGCUUAAUCAUAGGUGUCACAUACCACAAGUUUGGAUGUAUGGAAAGCAUGGAAAUGGUGGAUGAAGUAAAAUAAAUAAAACUCUUGCCUAGAAAUUUCAUGUUUAAUUGCUUGUGCAUUUUGUGGUGUUUGCAUAUGCAUUAUAGGAGCAUAUUCUUUCUUAAGCAAAACUAAUGGACUUAAGAAAAAUACUCGGAACAACUCAAAAAUCUGGGAAAAAUUUGUAUUAACUCCUUGCUGACCUUAGAAACCAAAUGUGAAUUUUAGUUUAAUUUAUCAACUCAUUAGAUGGACCAAACAAUUCUCUAAGCACUCUAAAGUCAGGAUUUUGACAGAUUCUCUGGAGCACUUUGAAACCUUGCCAAAAUUCGACCUUGGACUUCUAGGCUGUAGGACUUGAUCCAAACUAUAGUAUAAAUAUUACUUUACAACUUUGCCAUUGGUCUCUAGCUCUAAAUCUGCCUGGAAAUAAUUUUAAACCGAGCACAAAGUUGGAAUUCCACCUCUAUUCCAGACUUAGCCAAAACUCCAGAUCUCCUCUCCCUCUCUCACACAAGUCACUGCCAGGUGGACCAUAGGUCGUGUGGGGGCCCUCUUUUCAGCCUCACAUUGUUCUCCAAACGGGCCACGGCUCAGAACAUGCGCGCCACGCGCGGGAGCACGCGUCGGCAGCGGUGAAGAGCCGCUCCUCCUCCAUUCCUUCGCCGACGACGACCGUAGCAGCCGCGUCGCCGAACCAGCUCUCCGUUGCCAAGACUUCGCCGAGCCGCGUUCGCUACUUGGUGAGCUUCCUAGUAAAUACAUGCAUGUAUAGAUCAAGCCUCAAAACCCAUAUGCAUGUGCAAGCCGAGCUUAAUCGCCGCUUCCAACACCCUAACGGCCGCUAUAGAGCCCUAAAGCUUGCAAGAAAGCCACCAAUGGGUUCGCAUGGUUUUUCUCUACACUUUUCGUUUCGGGAGCUUGAGCUGAAUCGCCGCUGUUCGGCGCUGGUGAUGUCGGGAAGCUCGCGGGAGAGCUGCUCCUCUGCUCUGUCCAGAGCAAGGGCAUGACUUGUGAAAUUUAAAUACUUCCAGGGGUGUUUAAGAAAAACUAUCAGAUACUUACAUGUGGGGUCGUGUACUAAGCCGUAAAUAACUUAAAAAUCAAGUUCCUUUUUGAAUAAAAUCCUGGAACACGUGCUAGCGGCUGCGUGAUCUAUUUCCCGAGAACCCAGGGGCUUAUGCGCAAAAGUGUAGUCGCUGACUGGUGGACCCGAGAGAGGAAAAUGAUUUGAGAAAAUUAGAGAAAAUGCAAAACUAGUUUCUAAUCAACUGAAAAAUGGUAAAACUUUAGAAAUUCAUAGAAAAUUCAUCCUAACUCUAAAGUUGGCAAACUAAAUUUUUUUGGAAUCAUAUUUUUAUGCUCUGCAUUAUGAAAAUGUUUAACUUAACAGAAUCAUGAAGAUUUAUGUCUCAAAAAUAAAAAAUGCAUGUAGGUCUAUAUUUAACGAGAAGACACUUUAAAAAUUUGUAACUUUUACGUGAAAAUUGUUAAAAUAAAAAUUCUUUCACUAAAAAUCAAAUUAACACAGAGCAUACCAACUCCAUAAAAAGCAUUCAUUUUAGAGCAUGUUGGAUUUUUAUGUGUGUCUAUAAUUUUGAUUUUUGCAUUAUGUAUGUUUAGAUGAUUCGCAGCCAAAUCACGAGGAGACCAACUUCGUAGCUGAGCAAGGAGAGGAAGAGCAAGGCAAGCCACCUCUCCUCUUUGAUCACAUUGAACCUAUGAUUUGGAGGUUUUUGAAAAGAAUUGCAAAUAGUGUAUGUCAAUUGUACACUAAUCCGUUAAAACUUUGUAAAAUUUAUUAGAACAACUCCUUAACUUGCAUUAUUACCUAAACUCCACCAAAGACCUUAACCACUAUUCCAAGCCUUAGGAACAAUUAAAAUUGUCACAUUAAGUUUGAUACUUAAGGACACAAGUCUAUAAAAAUGCUUAGCCAUGCUUAGAAAUGUGUUUACUUACCAUUUGGGCUCAAUUAUGUAUAUAAAAUGAACUACUUUACGAUCUGGAUUAAAAUGAUAAAAUGUGAUAUUUGUUAAAUAAAAUGUUGGAAAAUGAGGACUUUAGGUUUGGGCCUCAUGUGGUACACAUAUGAUAUUUAGUUGUGUGCCGAUAGGGGGAGAGUGUUCCCUGACCAACCUAAGGACUUCACUCAAUGUCAGUUCGUUUCGUAUACAGUGCAGCCACAUUUGCUAGUAUGGGAUAGCCCAAGCUUAGUAAAUUAUUUAUGGUUAGCAUUACAUUUUGGUAGGCCGGUGUGUAUGAGUUUGUAUAACUCAGAGGAACUUUCUAUUUACCCCGAUGUGAUAGUUUAGGUGACUAAGUCUGUCCAAUACAACGGUAUUGUGCCACGUGGUGGGUUCCCAUUGUGUCAGCCACCUCGGCGUUAAGUUUAAGGUGUGGGCCCGCCACUUAACGAUUCUACGUCAUAUAUCGAGUAUGGCUUAGGAUGGAGAAACACGUAUCGUGCUGGUGUAAGGCUAAAUCAUGAAUUUUGGAAGGGCUUUGUUGUGAGUAAUAAAUCGGGUAUUUAUGUAUCGCGUGCCAUGCUUUGCAUGAUUAUUAUUUCGCAUCAUGUGGGUAAAGUGUACAUACUCUGCAGAGUUAAAACUAAUCGAUUAGAAGUGCUCGCGGUUAUGAGCGGCGUGUGAAUAUGUCAUGAGUAUAGACUUUGUGUUUUAUUCUUCCUAAAGCUGAAUUUAAACUUCAAAUGUGAUGAGAUAAGUGGAUUAUAUCCUUGCUGCCAUGGAAGGCAAUAAGGAGCUAUGUUAUGUGUUUAACAUCUACUUUGAUGCCCAUUUGAUAAGUGUAUGCUUGCUGAAAUUUAAAUGAAAAUAAAUCUGAAUUUGAAAUGAUGUUUGCAAAGAACGUAUGCUUUAUGCUGAAAAUUGCCAAUGUAAGCUUUACUUUGAAUAUGCCAUGCUUGUAGACUGUUAGGCUUGCUUGGUGCUUGCCAGUACAAUUUAUUUGUACUGACUAUUGCUUGUAUUAUUGUAUUGUUGUAUGUUUAGACUUGGUUGCAGGUGAGAUCACUCCUAAGGAGGAUGAUUUCGCAGGGGAUGUUUCGUUCUUCUAGGAUGGUUCUUACUAGGGUCUACCAUAGUCGGUUGCAUGAAAGAUCUUUUGGGUAGAAGAUGCUUCCACGAACCUAACUAUUUGGCCGGUCGGCCAUGUGUAUCUAAGCACUAUGUUGUAUGAUUCUAAGACUUAGAACAAAGAACUCCCUAAGUUUGAGAUAUCAUGUGCUUGGAUGAAAGUGUUUAGUGUGAUCCUUUUGUUAGGAACAUAUUAAACAUUAGUAUGAGUUAAAGAUAUUUGAGAUGUUGCAGAUCUUUAGCCAUUUUUGUCAAGUCUCCUGAAUGUGUAACACAUCUAGUCGCCACCUUCGUGUGGUUUAACAGGCACAUCUCAGGCUGAAGUUAUCUGGCAGGCUAAAGGCCUAACAAGGUCUCAUAUAUCUUUCUCUCGGUGCGUCGAAUUUCUUAAUAUGUUUGAUGGAAGAAUUGAGUUUAGCUAUUCAUCCUUCAAAUAUAAUAAGAGGUUCGGAGUGCUUCCGACAGCAUUGGUAUCAGAGCCAAGACUGACCGCAGGAACCCUUUUAAGACUGAAUGGUAGUAAGGCUUCAAAAGAAAAUAUUUUGAGGGUAAUGUCCUCACUAAUAAUAUUUUUUUGCAAAAUUUAAUCUAUUCUUACUUCUUAGCCCUUUUGGAUAAAUUCCUUUCCUAUGAAUCUUGUUUUGAUUUUAAAACUCCACCUUAUUCUAUAGAAUCGGAUGAUAUAUGAAUAAGAAAAAGUAGUAACUCAUAGAGAAGACUAAGGAAUGAAUGAAACAAAUUCGAUUCAAGUUUGUACUUGAAUGAUUUGAAAACUUCUCAGUAAUAAAUAGCUAAUUUCUCCUUUCCAAAGCUGAAUUCAAAAAAUUAUUUUUUUAUCGAUGGCCUAGAAGGUGGUAGUAUGGGGCAGGAUGGAAUUGAUUUGUUUUUAACCAUAGAUUUCUUGUCAUAUAAAGGCCACUAGAUUUUUGUGAAGCCUCUACAUUAAGUUCUUAGCAUGUCCUAAUUUUGGUGCGAAUUUUACAACCUUGCAUCUUAUUUUAAAAAUUGCAAAAGUCCAGGCUGCGCAGAUUCUAGAGGAUGUAGCAGUCGUCCCUCACAUUUUUUCACAGACCAGUAUGCAGUAGCUAAAUUUUCGCCAAUUUCCAGUAGCUACCCAACUUAAUUAUGAAUCCCUAGAAUUUUUGCAUGUCUGGACAUUGGGUUAAAAAUUCGAACAGCACAGAUCAACCUAUAGUUUCAGUACUGCAUCAUCUAGUUUAGAAAUUCAUUAUAGAUAAAUAUAUGUGUGUAAAAAUUGUAAAUCUUAUACCAUAAUGUGGAUAUAACCAGGGAAUCCUUAGGCAUGUAUUUAACCAAGAAAUUUAUGCAUUCACAUGUUGAAAUAAGGUCAACCUAUUGCAUAAUAGUAUGCUGGACAGAACAUGAUAAAAUAACCAUAACACCAUUUCCGAGAUCCUAAUGAUUUUCAAUUGAAAUUCUAAUUGGUCUAUAUUUCCAAAUCUUGUAGGUGUCUUCUGUGUGGCGACCACUAGACUAUUCCGGAGGUUAUGAGGAAGGAUCAUUGCCUCACAUCUUGUGGCUCAUGCUGCAACAUCUUGGCCAUAACCACCCAACAGAGUAUCAUUUCUUUUCUCUUGAACGGAGUUCAUCUCUCCGAGCUUAUAUGGCUGAGCUGUGUAUAUAGGGAAUUUGGAUCCAUGAACCAUCCCUUUACUUUCAAGCUUGUGGUUGGGAUGCACCCUGUGUAUACAGGCUGACGGAGCUCGUGGCUCCUCACCGGGAGACCGCGCAGGCCCCCCUUUGCCGGUUCGGCCGGGGGCUUAGGGUGAGAUCUCAAGCUCUCUCUGUGUGUGGAAAGAUCGCGUGCUAGGAAGAAACGCGAGACACAAGCGAUGUAUACAGGUUCGGGCCGCUGAGAAGCGUAAUACCCUACUCCUGUGUUUUGGUGGAUCUGUGUAUGAAGGGGCUACAAAGUGUGAGCCAACCUCUCCCUCGUUCUAGGCUCUGAAUCUGGCAAGAAUCAAUCCCCCCCUCUAUGGGCAAGGUCCUCCUUUUAUACUUCAAGGGGAUACCACAUGCACCCUUCUCUUUCCAAACUGGACUGUUCUUUUUCUCUUGAAUGGGCGGAGAUCAGCACGGUUGCUGUCCGAACGACGCUCCGAUGGGACAGCCCACACCUACCUCCACUUCCGCCGGGGGUGAGCGCGUCGUGGGAACAUGGCUGUGCGCUGACGAUAUGAUCAGUGUCAGACCGAUCACAAAUCGGUCAUUCUUGUCCACCGCGUGUAAUCUUGGCAACGUGCAUGUUUGCCCUUCUUCACACAACAUCUUGCCUGUAAUGGUUAGGAUGAAGCCUGGCAUAUAUCGACCGGGUCUAACGUGUCAUCUCUAAGAGAUAACACGCUUAACGCCGGCUUGAGACGAGUGCCUAGAGGCUUUCGUCUUGACGGGAUGGGGCAUGGCGUGCGUCAGACCGCCAGUCGCCACCUAACCCGUGAUCUGACCGGUCUGUGACUGGUCACAGACCGGAUAAAGGGACGCGCCGUGCUGCACUGCAUGCAGCGUGACACGCUUGACCAGACUGCAAUAAAUGCUGUUAGGUGAGCACAGCUGUGCUCACUUAUCCCAUAUACGUGGCGCAGACUUCCUAAAGGGGGUCGGGGUGCCUCGGCCCUCGGGGCCGGGGCAAGCGCAACCCGACCCCCCCUCGGGGGAAAUCAGGAGGAGGGCGGACACCUCACCCUCGGGCCCGACGUCCCCGAAGGUGCCAGGCCACGUGGGCGAUUGUGUCUGCCUCAAGCCUCUGGUCAUGAUACUCCCGGUCCCAUAUCACCGACAGUAGCCCCCGGCGUUAUGCCAGAGCAAUUUCCCUUCCCAAGGGAAGCGGUCAGGUGUGACGCCACUCCUAAAGCCUGGUGACAGGUGGGACCGGUCUCCGUAAUUGGGCAAAAUACCCAACGGUCUCAAUCCAUGCACAUCGGUAUUGAUAACUUUGGCUGUCCAUAAUGGGCGGUCUAUUCAGACUGCCACACCACUUGAGCAGCGCGCGAAUCUGGGUGAGCAGAUUUGUCUCGCUCGGAGAUACGGUAACGCCGCUUCGGUCGGCGAGCGUAAUUAACGCGCGCACGAUACAAUCCGUUUCGAUUACCACAACCGCAUAUCCACUUCAUGCGCCGUAAGCGGGCGAAUGGGAUUAGUGGAAGCGUGGGCACGGGAAACGAGGGAGCGAGAUAGCGAGAUACGAGGGAGCGAGGUAGUGGGCGCGAGAAACGAGGAGCCAGGCCCAGCGAUGGCAAGGGUAUAAAAGCAUCGAGAAAAGGAUUUACUCCCUUCCUUUCGCCAUUGUUCCUCUUGCCUUCGCCGCCUGAGCUCUAACUCUUUCUCUGCUACGCCCUACCUUCGCCACACGCGCUCGUUCCCAAUCAUCUCUUCCUCCACCGCCAUGGCACGGGGCUCUGCUCUGCUCGACGGCAGUGUGCUGCCGCCUUCCCGCAUCGUGAAUGAGAGGCACGCCGGACUGCCGCGCCGCUUCAUGCCGGAGUCCGCCACCGGUCGGGAGAUUGUGAUGCUGGGCGAGGGGCGCCCGGCACCAGACUACCCGGGGCGGUCCAUCUUCUUCCUCCCCUUCGCAAUGGCUGGGCUGGUCCCGCCAUUUUCUCAUUUCUUCAUGGAUGUCCUGGAGUUCUACGAUCUCCAGAUGGCGCACCUCACCCCCAAUGCGGUGAUGACAUUGGCCAUCUUCGCACACCUGUGCGAGAUGUUCAUUGGGGUGCGCCCCUCUCUUCAGCUGUUCCGGUGGUUCUUCACCGUGCAGUCGGUGUCACCGCCAUCGGUGGUUGGCGGCUGCUACUUCCAGCCGCGGGGGCCGGUGUUGAACCGCUACAUCCCCUGCGUCCUCCGCAAGAAGUGGGACGACUGGAAGAGCGACUGGUUCUACACCCCCCUCGCCGACGAAGCGCGCCUCCGACUUCCGAGCCAGCCCCCGGCGCAGGACUCCAGCUGGCGGGCGCCGGUAGAUCUGGGGGAGGAGUACGACGCCGUCCUCGACCGCCUGGCGGGCCUGCGAUCCCAGGGGCUCACCGGGGCCAUGGUAUUCGGCGAUUACCUCCGUCGCCGGAUUGCGCCGCUCCAACGGCGCGCCCGGAGCGCCUGGGAGUACACUGGGCCUGAAGACUACAUGCGGACCCAUCAGGGAACCAGAUGGGAUUGGGCUCCUGAGGACUUCAAGAUCGUAGUCCAAAGGGUGCUUAAUCUUAGCUCCGCGGAGGCGUCUCGCCUUCCUCAGGAGAUCCUCCCCCUCUGCAUCGAUCCCGACCGCGUCUCCAUUCUAUCCAUUAUGCUGGGGGUCGGGGCCUCAGAGGAGAGAGCCCCUAAGGGCAACGACGGCGCGGGCGAGCGCCGCCGGGGGAAACAAUCUGCCCCGGGAGGGGGUCGUGCUUCUGGGCCCCGCGUCGGGGGCUCGGGGAGCAGCCGCCCUGCCGACGCCCCGGGGAAGAGGAAGCUGGGAGGAACACCUCCCCCAUCUCCCCCCCGAGGGGGCGGGGCGGUGCGUACCAGCGGCCGGCGCCCGGAGGGGGCUGCGCCGACAUCUCAGCCCGAGGGGGAGCGCAAGAAGAAGCGGCUCCGCAAGAUGGGGGAGACGGAACCAGCCCGGGGAAACCUAAUUUCCCCCCCAAGGUGGUCAUUCAACCGACCCCCUCGCAGGUUCGUCUUACUCUCAUUGCAACCAUCUUUCUCCAAAAAGAAGUUUUUUCUUGCUCACUUUGUUCGUCUUCUGGCUUUUUCUUCUGCUUCAGAGAUGUCCCGUCGCAUUCCUCCCGCCACCCCAAGUCCGGCCAGCCCGAGGCCGAAGAUCCAGCGGCCGCAGAGGAGCGGAGGCGAGAGUCUGACCGGCGUGAAGCCGCAGCCCGCCUUCAGGAAGCUGAAGAGGCCGCCCGGGAGGCCGCCCGGGUUCGCCAAGCGGAGGAAACUGCUCGGGAGGAGGCCGCCCGGGCUCGCCAAGCCGAAGAAGCUGCCCGGGAGGAGGCCGCCCGGGCUCGCCAGGCUGAGGCGGCAGCUGCUGCUGGCGCGUCACUCGGGCCCACUCCCUCGGGCGGCCCUCAGGCGACAUCCUCCGAGGCGGCUCGCGACGAGGCCGCGGGCGCGUCGCCUGGGCCUACCUCACCGGGCGACGCCCAGGACCAAACGGGCCCGGGGGACAUCCCCGAGCUCAGCGUAUCCUCCGGGGGGCCAAGCCGCGUCGCUUUUUCUCCAAGGCGGCUUUUCUCCUCCUCUUCCAUCGCCCCGGUGAGCGCCGAGCCCAUUAUGCAGGCCUUGGCCGCCGCAAACACCGCGGUGCUAGACGGAUUUAGCGCCCAGGUGGAGGCCUUGCGAGCGGAACGAGCGGAGCUCGAGGCCGCAUGGGCGCGCGUCGAGGAGGGGCGGCGCUCGGUGGACGCCAUGGUGGAGGUGGGCCGUAAGGCUCACCGCCGCCACAUCUCGGAGCUCGAAGCCCGCAAGGCGGCGCUGGCGGAGAUCGCCCGAGAGGUGGAGGAGGAGCGAGAGGCCGCCCUUAUCGCCACCACCACGAUGGUCGAGGCGCAAGACACCCUCCGUCUUCAGCACGCAAGCUGGGAGGCGGAGCUGAAGAGCAAGCUCGACGCCGCCCAAGGGGUUCUCGACUCCGCCGCUGCCCGAGAGCGGCGGGCAACGGAAGCCGAAGCGGCGUCCCGGCGGCGCGAGGAGGCCCUUGAGGCCCGUGCCAUGGCGCUGGAAGAACAUGCCGGCGCCGUGGAGAGGGGCUUGAUGGACCGCGAGGCCGCCACUGCUCUCCGGGAGGCGACGCUGGCGGCGCACGAGGCCGCCUGCGCCGAGGAGGAGUCCGCGCUCCGCCUUCGCGAGGAUGCACUCGCCGAGCGGGAGCGGGCUCUCGAGGAGGCCGAGGCCACGACGCAACGGCUGGCGGACAGCCUCUCCCUCCGCGAGGCGGCGCAGGAGGAGCAGGCGCGCCGCAACCUUGAAAGCGUCCGCGCCGAGAGAGCCGCGCUGGAGCAGCGGGCUGCUGGCCUCGAGGCGCGGGAGAAGGAGCUAGACGCGAGGGCGCCUAUCGGCGGGGCGGCCGCGGGCGAAAGCGACUUAGCCGCUCGCCUCGCGGCUGCCGAACACACCGUCGCUGACAUGCAGCGCGCGCUGGACUCCUCCACCGGGGAGGCCGAGGCCCUUCGCUUGGCGGGCGAGAUCGGGCCCGACAUGCUUUGGGAUGCGGUCUCCCGCAUGAAGCGCGCCGGUCGGCAAGCGGGCCUCUGGGGAGGCCAGACGUCGGUGCCCCCCACCAAUCUGGAAGGCCUCGCUCCGCACCUCAACAGGAUGGCUUGGGUUCUCGAGCGACUCCCCGAGGAGCUUGAGAAGACCAUCAAGGCAUCCUCGAGGGACCUCGCCCGGGGGGCGGUUGAACUCGUGCUGGCGAGCUACCAGGCCCGGGAUCCCAACUUCUCCCCCUGGAUGGCGCUGGAGGAGUUCCCUCCCGGGACCGAGGACGAGGCGCGCGCGCGGGUCGGGGAUGCUGCUGACCACAUCGUCAACGGCUUCGAGGGCUCGGCCCCUCGGCUCGCGUUCGCCCCCAGCUCCGACGAGGAAGGCGACACCAGCAGCGAGGACGGCGGUGGCGACGAGGCCGGCGACCCGGGCGCAUAUGAAUGAGCCCCCAGGCCCCCGCCACUCUUAUCUUUUUUCUUGUUCUUUCUUCUAAGGCCUUCAUGCCUCUUUUUUGUACAAUUUUAACUUAAUCUGCAAUGAGAAAUGAUGAAAAAUUUUUGUGUUAGUUUUAUUUUGCUAUAUAUAUGAGUUGAGGAUGAUCUGUGCCAUGGUCCUUUUGCGACUUAGCUUGGAAUAAGGGCUCGCGCCCAAGUCCCGGUCCUCGAAUGGCUCGGGUCGGGGCUAGUGCCUGGGGAGAUCCGCAUGUCGAGACUGGCCAGGCCGGGAACGUGGUGACCGAGGGGUAUGGGUGACCCGAUUGUGGGUUUUUGCCGAUUCCCCCCCGGAGUUCACCACGCCCCGGGGCACGGCUCGGUUCUGGGCCCCGUUUGGCGAUUUUAGCUGACCGAACCGAGCCCCCGAGGGCAAGGUUGAGCACGAGUGACAUUAUUUCAAGUCAAGAUUCUUCAAAAGGAAAAAACGGCACAGACACAACCUUUAGGAAAUUGAAACUGCUUCUAUUGAAAUGCUGAAAGGAAUAUAUGUGCAUGUGUGGUAGCCCCCGGCUAACCCUGCACACCCGAGGGGGGGGUGCGGGGUUAGCCCGAGCCAAAACCUGACACCCGACCCCCCCUUCAGGGGUAGAAGCGACGAAGGUGUUCAAUGUUCCACGGGUUUGGCAGCUCCGUGCCGUCGCCCGUGGCCAGCCGUACCGAGCCCGGCCGGGGGACACCGAUCACUCGAUACGGACCCUCCCACAUUGGUGAGAGUUUGCUCAAUCCAGCACGCGUUUGGACGCGGCGUAGGACGAGGUCGUCGACGCAGAGUGAUCGGGCCCGGACGUGGCGCUGAUGGUAGCGCCGCAGGCUCUGCUGGUAGCGCGCAGCUCGGAGGGCCGCGCGCCGCCUUCGCUCUUCCAAGUAGUCGAGGUCAUCUCUACGAAGCUGAUCUUGAUCAGCCUCGCAGUACAUGGUGGCCCGAGGAGACCUCAGGGUGAGCUCAGAUGGGAGAACCGCUUCUGCGCCGUAGACGAGGAAGAAAGGCGUUUCCCCGGUCGCUCGGCUUGGUGUGGUUCGGUUCGCCCAGAGCACCGCUGGCAACUCCUCGAUCCAUGAAUCGCCGUGCUUCUUGAGAAUAUUGAAGGUCUUGGUUUUAAGGCCUUUGAGGAUUUCUGCAUUGGCGCGCUCCACUUGGCCAUUGCUUCUGGGGUGGGCAGGUGAGGCGAAGCAGAGCUUGAUGCCCAUGUCUUCGCAGUAGUCGCCGAAGAGCUCACUAGUGAAUUGGGUGCCAUUAUCCGUAAUAAUACGGUUAGGCACUCCAAAACGGGCCGUGAUGCCCUUAAUAAAUUUAAGAGCAGAGUGCUUAUCGAUCUUGACAACCGGAUAAGCCUCGGGCCACUUAGUGAACUUGUCGAUCGCAACAUACAGGUACUCAAACCCGCCCGGGGCCCGUUUGAACGGUCCCAGGAUAUCAAGCCCCCAGACAGCAAAUGGCCAUGACAGUGGUAUGAUCUGCAGGGCCUGGGCCGGCUGAUGAAUUUGCUUGGCGUGGAACUGACACGCUCUGCAUCGCCGGACCAGAUCAACUGCGUCAUUGAGAGCUGUCGGCCAAUAAAAUCCUUGACGAAAGGCCUUGCCAACCAGGGUGCGCGAGGCGGAAUGGGCUCCGCACUCGCCCUCAUGGAUGUCAGCAAGAAGCUCAACGCCUUGUUCCUGAGGAAUGCACUUCAGGAGGAUUCCGUUAGCCGCGCGCCGAUAGAGGGUCCCUUCUACCAGCACAUAGCGUUUGGAAAUGCGUUGUACGCGUUCACUCCCUUCGCGGUCCUCAGGUAGAGUCUUAUCUGUGAGGUAUGUUUGGAUCUCAGAGAUCCAAGCAAUCAAUCUAAGGGAGCUUGGAACACUCUCUUCGGGUCCCGAGGCCUGGACUCCGACGGGCCUCGGGGGCCGGUCAGGCGCAUCCGUCUCCCCUAAGGGGUCGGGUCGCGCCGACGGCUGGGUAAGCCUUUCUUCAAAGGCGCCCGGUGGGGUCUGGGCUCGCGAGGACGCGAGCCUUGAGAGUUCAUCGGCAAUCAUAUUAUCCCGUCUGGGCACAUGCCGAAGCUCUAUCCCGUCAAAAUGGCGCUCCAUACGCCGCACUUGGCGUACGUAGGCGUCCAUCUGUGGGUCAGAGCACCGGUACUCCUUACAGACCUGGUUAACGACUAGCUGGGAGUCGCCUAAUACCAAGAGGCGGCGGAUCCCUAGUCCAGCCGCCACUCUGAGUCCGGCAAGGAGUCCCUCGUACUCUGCCAUAUUGUUAGUCGCUCGAAAGUCGAGACGGACCAAAUAUCUGAGGACGUCUCCGUUCGGAGAGGUCAACGUGACCCCUGCACCGGCGCCCUGAAGAGACAGAGAACCGUCGAAUUGCAUCACCCAGUAGGCGGUUUGAGGCAGCUGUGAGGGGUCCGUGCUGGCCUCGGGUAUUGAGACGGUCUCUGGAGCCGGGGUCCACUCCGCCACAAAAUCGGCGAGGGCCUGGCUCUUGAUAGCGUGGCGUGGUUCAAAGUGCAGAUCGAACUCAGAAAGCUCGAUUGCCCAUUUUACCACUCGUCCUGUACCCUCUCGAUUAUGCAGGAUCUGACCGAGGGGGUAAGACGUAACCACAGUGACCCGAUGCGCCUGGAAAUAAUGGCGCAGUUUCCUCGAGGCCAUCAGAAUAGCGUAAAGCAUCUUCUGGGCCUGUGGGUAUCGGGUCUUGGCGUCCCGGAGGGCCUCACUAACAAAGUAGACAGGCCGCUGCACCUUUCGGCGGGGCCGAUCUUCUUCGCUAGGGGCCGCACCCCUGGGGCGUUCUUCGUCCGAGUGGCCCCUCGGGGCGCACUCGUCUUCUGUGCCGUUGACCUCGGGGUCGGAGGACGACAGGAGCGGCCUUCCCACAGUGGCCUCGGGGCCGCCCUGGGGGUCGGGGGCUCCUGGCGUCAUCGGACAAGCGGGCAAAGGGCCAACUCCGGUCGUCAGGGGCCUUAGGCCACCGUUCGGCUCGGGGGCCUCUUCUCCCUGCUCUCUCCCGGGUCGAAUCGGUACAGGGUUAGCCUCAGGGUCAGAGGGUGAUAGGUGCGGCCUCCCCGCAGUGGCCUCGGGGCCUUCCUGUGGGUCGGGGGCACCCGGCACCGUCUGACAAGCGGGCAGAGGGCCGACUCCGGUCGUCAGGGGCCUUAGGCCACCGUUCGGCUCGGGGGCCUCUCCUCCCUGCCUGCUCUCGGGCCUAGUCGGCACAGAGUGGGGGUGCGCAGAAUGAGGAUUGUCCUCAUCGCGCUCCACAACCAACGCUGCACUAACUACUUGGGGGGUCGCUGCUAAAUAAAGUAGCAGGGGCUCAUUUGGCUCCGGGGCGACUAGAACCGGGGGAGAGCCGAGAUAUGCCUUUAACUGAGUAAGGGCAUGUUCAGCUUCCUCCGUCCAAGUGAACGGCCCCGAGCGCUUGAGGAGCUUAAACAAGGGAAGCGCCUUCUCUCCCAGCCUUGAUAUGAAACGACUUAGGGCGGCCAUGCAACCAGUGACGCACUGCACGUCCCUAAGUUUGCUGGGGGGGCGGAUCCGCUCUAUAGCUCGUAUCUUCUCGGGGUUGGCCUCAAUGCCUCGGGCAGAGACCAAAAACCCGAGAAGCUUGCCCGCAGGUACACCAAACACGCACUUAUCGGGGUUUAGUUUUAUGCGGGCGGAGCGGAGGUUCUCAAAAGUUUCCGCUAGAUCUGAGAGUAAGGUCUCUUGGUUGCGCGUUUUUACAACCAAGUCAUCGACAUACGCCUCAACAUUACGUCCUAUUUGACUACCCAAAGAAAUUCGAGUAGUACGCUGAAAAGUAGGACCUGCAUUCUUUAACCCGAAAGGCAUUGAUGUAUAACAAUAGGUUCCUACGGGGGUAAUGAACGCAGUUUUUUCCUCAUCCUCCCUAGCCAUGCGAAUCUGAUGGUAACCAGAAUAUGCAUCUAGAAAACACAAAAGGUCGCACCCCGCAGUGGAGUCGACGAUCUGAUCUAUGCGAGGCAGGGGGUAAGGAUCCUUAGGACAUGCCUUGUUAAGGUCGGUGUAGUCGAUGCACAUCCGAAGCUUGCCGUUCGCCUUGGGAACGACCACCGGGUUCGCCAGCCAUUCCGGAUGGAUGACUUCACGGAUAAAUCCGGCCUCCAGAAGUCUCGCCACCUCCUCGCGGAUGAAGGCUUGACGUUCCGGGGCCUGCCGCCGCACUUUCUGCCGGACCGGCCUUGCGCCCGGCCGCACGGCGAGACGGUGCUCAAUCACCUCCCUGGAGACCCCGGGCAUGUCCGCUGGUCUCCAUGCGAAGACGUCAGCGUUUGCCCGCAGGAAGGAGACGAGCGCGUCUUCCUAUUUGCCACCCAGAAGACCACCGAUCCGCGUGGUCUUGGAUGGGCCGUCGCCCAAGGCAACCUCCUUGACCGGGACCUCGUCGCAUGUGGCCAUCCGCUGCCUCGGGGUGGUGGGGGCAGAGGGGCCAAGCCUCUCGUCACCACCCUCGGGCUUGGACGCAGCAGCGAGGCGGUCCGCGCGCUGCUCUAUGCAAGCAAGCGCGACUUUAAGGUCGCCACGGACAGAGAUGGGGCCACCGGGGCCCGGCAUCUUCAUCUGGAGGUAGGCGUAGUGGACCGCCGCCAUGAACUUCACCAACGCGGGUCUCCCCAGGACCGCGUUGUAGGGCAGACUGAGGUCCGCCACAUCGAAGCUCACCCGCUCCGUGCGGAAGUUGGCGGAUCCACCGAAGGUGACCGGUAGGUCGAUGUGACCUAAUGGCCACGUGUGCCCCGGCGUCACACCGAUGAUCGGUUGAGACGGCUGGAGCACCAUCCCCGGGGCCUUGAUAGCAUCAAAGGCCGCGGGGGAAAGGAUGUUGAGAGCCGCUCCUCCAUCUAUGAGGACACGUCCCAACUUCACGUUGCAGAUGGUGGGGGAAACCACCAUCGCAACCUGCCCUCCCCGGGCAAUGCACGGUGGGUGGUCGGUCUGGUCGAAAGUGAGAGCAACCUCCGACCAUCGCGCCCGACGCAUCGCCUCAUGGGUAGGGGCCAUGGUCAGAAGCUCUCGCUUCAUAGCCUUGAAGCUCCGGCGAGAGACGUGAGCACAUGCUCCUCCAUCGACGGUGGCAAUGGUGGCUCCAGGUUCUUGGAAACCUAGAUCAUCAUCACCAUCAUCAAUGUCAACAGCGGGGGCCUUCUUCUUGGCCUCACUUCGCCGUUUGUCGGAAGGAACCGCCGGGGACUUGCCCUCACGGCGUUCCUGCCUCCUGUCCUCCUCCCACUUCCUCGUUCGCUCAGCCAAGUUUUUGACUGCACGACAGUCCGCGAGAUCGUGGAGGGAGGUGUUGUGGACGGAGCACCACCUGCCGGCGGGGCGCUCCCUGCCGGGAGUACCAGCCUCUUUCUUUUUGUCGCUCGCAGGCCUCCCCUUUCGGGUGGCCCGCGGAGCGCCCUCGACGGCGAGGACAUGACCCUCGUCGCCGGAACGGUCCGACCUCUUCUUCCUCCUCCUGUCACGCCGCCCUGUCUGAGCGGCGGAUCCGGGGGCGGCCGAAGCUGCCACUCCGGAACCGGAGGAGUUCCAUGUCCACGCUUCCUCCUUACGAGCCACUCGGUCUGCGAGCUGAAAAAGCUCUGCGGUAGUCUGGGGCUCUUUGGAAGCGAUCUUUUCGAGCAUGCGGUUGUGCCGCACGCCCCCCCUGAACGCGUAAAUCACCGCGUGUGCAGGGAUGCAUGGUAUAGUAUUGCGGACUUGGCAAAACCGCUGAAUGUACGAGCGAAGCGACUCAUCAUCGCCUCGCUGUACUGCAUGCAAGUCCGCUUCUUCGCCUGGGCGCGGAUAUGUGCCUUGGAAGUUCAUGGUGAACUGUUGGCACAAAUCUUCCCAGGAGUGGACCGACGCGGGUGGCAGGUUCAUUAGCCAACCCCGCGCCUGUCCUUUUAGGGCCAUGGGAAAGAAGUUCGCCAUGACCCUGUCGUCACCCCCAGCGGCCUCAAUCCCGGUCGUAUAGACCUGGAGAAACUCGGUGGGGUUGACGCUCCCAUCGUACUUCUCGGUGAUGGUGGGCCGGAACCUUGGGGGCCAACGGACGUUCCGAAGACUCGCCACAAAGGCUCUACAGCCAACACCACCGGCCGGGGGCACGGAGGGCUGAUCUUCACGUCCGUGUCGAGGUGACACUCUAGACGAGGAGGCGCCCUCCGUUGCACGGGGAGUACGCCGGCUAUUACGCCGGCGCCCGAUGUUGAGGCGGGCAUCCGGCUCCCCAUGCUGAUCCUGAUCCCGAGUCGACGGUGUAGACGAGGGAGUGGCAGCCGAAUGACGUGCAGCCGCCGCCGCUCGCCGCGCCCUCCGCCUUGAUGACACGGAGCCGGUGGUAGCGGCGCCGGAGGUCUUGGUGGUGGUGGCGGACCGUCCACCAGCACCCAGGCGCUGCUGUGCCGUCAUGACCAAGUUGGCCACAUCUUCCAGCCAUCGUUGGGCUGGAGACUCCGGGUCAUGGACGACAGGCGGGUGUCGUAGGAGCGCGCCAGCAGCUUGAAGCGCACCUUGAGGUGUGCUGCCGUCGCCGUAGACGAGGAGGCGACGCUCCCCAUCUCGCCGUUCUCCUGCAUCACCUGCGGCUGGUGACGCCGCGGAUUUGUCGACCCUCUCAAGCGCCUCCCCCUGCUUAGGGCUUUGGCGCGGAGGAGGUGGAGGAGUACGAGCUCGACGGCGUGGAUUUGGCUCCCCGUCGUCGCCGCUCACACUCGGAGAGAGGUCGUGCGCUUUUCCUUGCUCGGCCAUUAGGCUGAACAAGAAAAACUUGGGGCACACGGAAGAGUCUGAGAGCUCAGGAAGCACACGCUGAGCCCCCUACCUGGCGCGCCAGAUGACGGAGCUCGUGGCUCCUCACCGGGAGACCGCGCAGGCCCCCCUUUGCCGGUUCGGCCGGGGGCUUAGGGUGAGAUCUCAAGCUCUCUCUGUGUGUGGAAAGAUCGCGUGCUAGGAAGAAACGCGAGACACAAGCGAUGUAUACAGGUUCGGGCCGCUGAGAAGCGUAAUACCCUACUCCUGUGUUUUGGUGGAUCUGUGUAUGAAGGGGCUACAAAGUGUGAGCCAACCUCUCCCUCGUUCUAGGCUCUGAAUCUGGCAAGAAUCAAUCCCCCCCUCUAUGGGCAAGGUCCUCCUUUUAUACUUCAAGGGGAUACCACAUGCACCCUUCUCUUUCCAAACUGGACUGUUCUUUUUCUCUUGAAUGGGCGGAGAUCAGCACGGUUGCUGUCCGAACGACGCUCCGAUGGGACAGCCCACACCUACCUCCACUUCCGCCGGGGGUGAGCGCGUCGUGGGAACAUGGCUGUGCGCUGACGAUAUGAUCAGUGUCAGACCGAUCACAAAUCGGUCAUUCUUGUCCACCGCGUGUAAUCUUGGCAACGUGCAUGUUUGCCCUUCUUCACACAACAUCUUGCCUGUAAUGGUUAGGAUGAAGCCUGGCAUAUAUCGACCGGGUCUAACGUGUCAUCUCUAAGAGAUAACACGCUUAACGCCGGCUUGAGACGAGUGCCUAGAGGCUUUCGUCUUGACGGGAUGGGGCAUGGCGUGCGUCAGACCGCCAGUCGCCACCUAACCCGUGAUCUGACCGGUCUGUGACUGGUCACAGACCGGAUAAAGGGACGCGCCGUGCUGCACUGCAUGCAGCGUGACACGCUUGACCAGACUGCAAUAAAUGCUGUUAGGUGAGCACAGCUGUGCUCACUUAUCCCAUAUACGUGGCGCAGACUUCCUAAAGGGGGUCGGGGUGCCUCGGCCCUCGGGGCCGGGGCAAGCGCAACCCGACCCCCCCUCGGGGGAAAUCAGGAGGAGGGCGGACACCUCACCCUCGGGCCCGACGUCCCCGAAGGUGCCAGGCCACGUGGGCGAUUGUGUCUGCCUCAAGCCUCUGGUCAUGAUACUCCCGGUCCCAUAUCACCGACACAGGCUGCAUUUCAAGCGAUUGUGUAUUACCGACACUAUAGGCCACGGAUGGAUGGGUUCUUGCACUACUUUCCAGCUUGCACAAACCAAACAACUGCCAAUUACUAUCCAGGUCUUGAGGGAAACAUGAGAGAGAUUGACACUCCACAGCUAUUCUUAGCCGGCCUAGUUCGUGCUAUGGAUAGAUAUCUCGCAAAAACUAUGGCCGAGUUGCGUAGAUUGCAAGCUAGGGUGAUCAUGCUUGAUACACGAAUAGAACCACUCGGGCACCAAGGGCACUUUGAUAAUGCCAUUAUUUAUGGGAAUCAUGAACUUCAACCUCUUACUGAGACUUUGCCUCCUCCCAUAGGUAUUUAUCAGAAUAUAAACACUAGAGCCCGCAUGAGAGUUGGUUUCCACUACAAUCGUCUAACCAUGCCAGACCCUGCACUUGUUGGAGAUCCGAUGUAGCUAGGACCAUUCUACGUGUUUGAGCGGAAUGGGAGACAAUACCGUUUAACCAUGGCCACUCCGUCAACUACGGUGCCUCAACCUCCUAUCGGAUUCUCCCAAGUUCCAUAGAAUGGUGUACUAAAGGAAAAAUGUAUGGGGUGUAACUUUCAUUUCUUUUACCAAAAGAUGUAUGAGAUGACACCCUAUUAUGUAUUCCUCGUAAUGGUCGAAUUUUGUAACACCGAGGCAAGAACUUGGUUUCUUAUGAUCAUUAUCCAAUUCUAUCUAUCUGUGAUCACUUAGAUCCUUUGAAACUGAUGUACUGGAAUGAAACUUAUGCUCCUUUUUGGAAUGAAUUGCUUGCUCUCCAGAAAUUUGUUUUAUGCAAAUAUGAGAUGGAUGACUUGUAAAUUCAGCUAUUAGAAAAUCAUUCCUGUAUUAUAUUUAUUUAGGGUGAUGUAUAUAUCAAGUCUUUGCACAAACAGCUCAUGUACUUUUGUACCUUAAGUGCAGGAUGACACAUACUCGCUCUAUGGCUGCUCACACGGAUGACACCGGUGGUGAGGAAGCUAGUCAACCUCGUGCUGGCACUCAUUCCGCUGGACAUGCCGGGGGUAGUCGGCGUGCCGCCACCACUGAGCGGCAUGAUGAUGAACCAUCCCUUGCUCAACUCUUAGCGAACCAGAACCGGCUCUUUGAAAGGAUGGUGGCAAACUCUGAGAACAUAGGGGCUGCUAUGGCACAGCAGGCUAACCAAGCACCUUCCAAGUUGGUAAAUGUUCAGCAAACUCAUCCGCCACAGUUCUCUUCUGCGGCUGAUCCACUUGCAGCAAAUGAUUGGCUUCGUGAUAUUGAAAUCAAGCUAAAUCUUAGCCAGUGUGAUUCUAUAGAGAAGGCUACCUUUGCUGCUUACUACCUGCAAGGUGCAGCAGCUGCUUAUUGGGAGACAUACAAGACUCUCAUUCCUCCUGAUGAGCCUAUCACAUGGACUGUUUUCAGAGAGGGAUUCAGAUCUGCUCACAUCCCUGCUGGUCUCAUGGAGAUCAAAAAGAAAGAGUUUCUUAACCUGAAGCAAGGAAACAUGCCCUUCAUGGAGUUCAUGGAACGCUUCAACUAUCUGGGUAGAUAUGUCGCUGCAGACAUGAACACCGAAGCAAAGAAGGUUGAGCUAUGUAGAGAUCGUCUUGCACCUGAACCACUACUAGGAAAUCGGGCUUAUGCAACGGCUUGAAUUCAUUGCAAUAUGCCCAAAACCGUUGCAAUAGGUGCACUACAAGAUAAUUGAGCUAUCGCCACCAAUUUAUUACAACAAAAGAUAAUUCGUGGCAAUAUUUUAUACUAUCGCAAUGAUAUUUUUUCUGUGGCAAAUAACUAUACUUUGUUGCAACGAUUUACAAUCGUUGUUUUAUUCAGUAUUUUUGUUGCAAUAGGAAAUGAGCUAUCGCCACAAAAAACAUUACUAUUGCAAAAAACAUGUUCUAUCGCCACACAUUUAAUUUUUGUGGCAAUUUGCAUAGUACAUGGCACUUUUCACUAUUUUCUAUUGCCAUGAUCAACAAAUUCGUUGCAAUAAAAAAUUAUCAUCUCAUAAUUUAACUUAUUCUUUUCAUAUGGACACGGAUUAGGACAAAUUUUAUAUAAAAUUUAUAGCUCUCGAUGAGAUCUACAACUUAAAAUUUUCAUUUGAAAUCUUUUAAAUACUCAAAUUCAUGAUUCAAAUCUCAGUUAAGCAGUCUCAAAUGGAAUUGUAUGCAUUUUUAAACAAAAUUGAUGCGUAGGUGAGUUGGUCGUAGAGAGUGCACGUGAGGGAGAGAUUUUGGGUUCGAAUCCUGGCUUUGACAAGAUAUCAAAAGAAAAUAGUUAGGAUGAUAAAUUAAUAUUGAAACAUUUAAUUUGGUACGUAGAACUAAUGCCACACAUGGAGUGGUGGCAAUAGUUAUUUAUUGCAACGAUGUGAAGUGUUGCAAUAUAUAUUUUUGCCACAUCCAUUUUAUGGCAAUAUCAAAAUUUAUUACAACUAAAUAAAAAUCGUUGCAAAAACCUAUUUGUAACAUACCAGGAAUUCUUUGAAGCUAAAAAAAAACAAAAUGAAGAAAACUUAGCAAAAAUUUGAUUUUGAUCUUGUCCUUGUCAUUUGAAGUUAAUUUUGGUGUUCUUGGAUUUUCCAUGCAUCUCAUAACUCAUUUGCAUGCAAUAAAUAUAAACAAAAAGGAACUAAUUAAAAUAAGUGGUAGACACUUGAAAUAACCUUUCACAAAUCUCACAAGUUUUGCAUCUCAAUUAAAAAGAUGAAAGCAUACAAAAUUUGAUUCAAAUUAAAAUAAAAACAGUGAACUUGUUUGAAUUUUCAAAACAAUAAACUGCACGUGAGAAAAAUCCCAAAAAUUUACCAAGUGGAGGUCUUGACCAGACUAACCUCCAGAAAUUUUUGCACAAGCUUUUGAGCACAGUAGCAUAUCCAAAAAAAUUAAUCAAACUCUCGGCCUUCUUGAAAAUUCCCAGAGAAAAAUCCUCUCACCUCAUCCCUUCUCCCGUUAUCUCUCUGACCAGUGGGCCUAAGGACCAUUGGCCCCACCUGCCAGCCACCAUCUCCUUAUCCCUGCUCUCUGUCUUUCUCCCUUCUCUCCAUCUAUUCCUUUCAGGCAAUUCAUCGAGCACCUAGCGUGCGAGAUCGAGGUCAUCGUUUCCAAGCCGACCAAGCAACCUCUGCCCGCGAUUCCCGCUGGCAAAGCUGAAGCAAGGCUGGUGCGCCCCUGCCCGAGGCCCUGCCGCUGCCUUCGCCGCGUCCCUCGCCGGCUCGCCCAACCCGGAGCUGCCGCUCUCUUGCUCUCCCUCUCUCUCUCUGCCCGAGCAACGACGCGACGCGACACUGCGCCACCCUCAGCCCACGAAUCCCGCUGUGCCAAGGCUGCACAAAGCCGACGCCAUCCCUGCCGAUUCCCUGCCGCGCCCAGGCGCCGACCACCGCAGCCGCCGUGGCCAAUCCAACGCCGCCGCCCCCUGCCAAAGCCGACGCCCGAAGCGACAAGGCGAGAUCGACCGCCUUGGCUCCCUCUGAAUACCCCUGCACCCCCUCUGCAAUCCCUGCGCAAAGCCGACGCCUGCUGCAAGCCGUGUUCCCCGCCGACCACCGCCUGCGCGCGCGAGAGACGCCGAGCAGUUCGUGACAAAUCCCCGCGCUUGCCUCUCGCUCCUACCUCGCCUAUAAAUCGAACCCUCGCGCCAGCUAACUCUCCACACCACUCUCAACCUCCACACCCAAAGCCGAAGACCGAAACUCUCUGAUUCGCCGGGAACGCCCGCGCCACCGUCGCGCCCCGCGCCGGCCGAACAGAGCGCCGCCGCCGAACCCACACCAUCGAGCCGUCGCCUCGGUGAGUUCCCUCUCGAUUCCUCGCGCCACCAGGAUCAUAGGACCUCCCUAAAUCCAUUUCAGCAAUCUAUUUUAGGACCCCUCGACCGGAGAUCCGCCGCCACCAUUGUCGCCGCCGACCGCCUCGGGAGCUCGUCGCCACGCUGCCUCGGACCAUCUCCACUCCAACCACGCACGGGGUAAGGAUUCUCGUAGUCCCUAGACCCUCCCCUAGAAAGGAAUCGAAUCGCUGUCGAUCGUAGCACGCCGGCCGCCGACGUCCAGAACCGCCGCCAACGCCGGCCAUGGCGCUCGCUGCCUUUAGACACCCCCGGCCGCGCCACCGCCUCCAGGAGAUGCACGUUAACCUCCUCUAGCCACCCCUGCCUCCGCUCUAGCCAGCCCCACCGCCGCUCGCCGCCGGCAAGGCCGUCCCGAGCCGCCCCCAUGCCGCUCCCCUCGUUCCUUCCUGUUGGGGAAGAAGACCGGUCCUAUUCAUAAAUAAGCAAAACUCUAGGGCUCCCAAUACAAAGCGCCAAUACACUUACAAGUGGGACCUUGGACUUAUAUGUAAAUAAUAAAAAGAGUAGGGUUGAAAUGAUAAAUACACGAGACACGUACAUGUGGACCCCACUGUUUUAAGUGUAUGCGGACUACUGUAAUACGUUUUCCAUGUAGGAAAGAGAGUACGCUUCAGGCUUUUGUAAAGAGAAAUUAAUAAAAUGGUUUCGGUUAAUUAUUUAUGCACUAUAAAAUGCUUAAACUUUGGAAAAUCAUAGAGAAUUUAUUUUAACUCCGUUUGAGGUGAACCAAAUUUUGUUAGAUUCAUAAUAAUGCUCCCUUUAAUACUGUACACUCAAAAUUAUCACCACUGUUGUGAAAAUUUUCACUAAUUUAAAUUUAAAUAGUAAACUUCGUAUUUACCGUACUUUAAAUAUUAGAAACGCGAUAACUUGCACGUACAACAUCGGAUUUAGGCGAUUCUUUCCCCUAAAUUUAUAUUAAAUCACCCUCUAUACACUGAACAUGUUCAUGCACCAUGCAUCAUAUUUUAUCUUAGAGUUUUAUUGGAUGUUCAUUUGAAUGUACGUUUAAAUUUAAAUAGAGGACGAAUCAAUUGUAGCUGUUGACGAGAGUGUGUAGGACCAAGAGUUAUUUGAGUAACCAACUGAGCAAGGCAAGUCCUAUUCAAUUCCUCCUUCGAUCAUGUUGAAUCCUAUAUCUUCGCAAAUGCUUGAUUAUUUUAUAAAUUGCAUGCGAUGUUUUAUAAAGAAAAUGGGGUAUUGGUAGAAAUGAUCUAUUUGCUGCAUUACCUACCUUGAUAUAUUGAUUAUCCUUACUGUUGAACCACUAGGAUGGGUAUUUAUGUGGUACUAUCCAAGCACCACCGUGGGUAUAUUCGAGCUACUAAUAUAGCUAUUGCUUAGCCAUGCUUAGAAAUUCCCGAUGGUUACUUAUGACAUGAUAUUCACUAUUUAUAAAUGGGAUAAUUGAAAAAAGAAAAUGACAUGGAGGGGUUGCCUCUGUUAUUUUUGUGAAAAUUGAAAAUUGAAAAAAACGAUGAUUUUAGGCUUGGGCGGCAAGUGGUGUGCAUAUGGUGGUAGUUGCACACCGAUAGGGGGAGUGUACGCCCGAGUCGAUUAAGGACUGAACUAUGUGUCACCAACUAAGAUUACCGUGCAACCACAUGUGUCGGUUAUGGGGCGACCUUGGCUUAUUAAGUUGUUUACUGUUUAGCCUUGCAUUGGGAGGCCGUUGUAGUAGGGACUAGUCUGAGCGAUGGUUCAUAGGAGCUACCCAUGUGACCCUCUAUGGGAACGGUUGUGUUCGCCAUAUGGCAUGGGCGUCUAAGCAUAUCCAAUAUAACGGAUAGUGCCUCGUUGAGGGAACGGAUGUGUUCGCCUCACAGCGUUAGGAUUAGGAUGGGGCCCACCUUUCCUAGCGGCAUUGGUUCAUUGCCAAUGUGGAGAAACACUCUCCGUGCUCAUGCAAGGCUAGACUUUAAGCAAUGUAACGGCUUCGUUGUGACCUCUAGUCCACAUUCAAUGUGUAGAGUGUGGGGUACCGACGGGUACCAAAACAACUAGAGUGUAGCCUUUUGGCUUCUAUCACAUCAUGUGGGUAAAGUUGUACAAACUCUGCAGAGUAUAAACUAAUCGAUUAGCCGUGCUCACGGUCAUGAGCGACUUGGUGAAAUGAUACAAGUAUAGUGUUGGUGAUUUUUGUUAAAUAAAUUAUGAAAUGGGUAUGGUGAAUAAUGGUGAUGGUUUUUGUCCAGCGUGGGUUAAGAAUAAAAUUGUUACUUGUUGCCAUGGAGGGCGCAAGGAUGGUACUAUGAAAAUAUUAAUGUUACUAUUACUGUUGUUUAUCCUUUGAUUUACAAAGUUUCGUUGCAAUCUACUAUUAUUUGCUAUUGUGAAAUAAAAUUUGCUUUGUGCUGAAAAUGAGCCACAAAUAUAGCCAUCCUUGAACUUAGCUUGCAAUAUUCCUAGGUUUCCCAAGGUUUGGGUAGGACUUGCCAUUACCUCGUGUAUUGACCCACCUCUUGUUGUUGUUUUUAGUCUUGUUUGCAGGAAGCGGGUGUUACCGGAGUUUCUAAGGAUGGUUCUUUCUAGGGUGGUUCCUAGUCAGUUGCCUGUGUGGUUUGGUAGAUGGGCAUACUGAAGAACUUAUGUAUCUUUAUCUUUUCCGCUGCGUUUAAACUCUUUUAUUUGGCCGGUCAGCCUAACUACUAUGUAAGACCUUUGCACCGCUAAGUUAUAAGAGCCACUUGCCUAUUUAUAUGCCAAGUAUGUUGUAUGGAUGUGAUAGCAAUGUUGUGGAUGCGUGUGCUAGCCACUGAUCAUGGGACUAGUACAGUGUACGCUCCAUGUAUUCGGGAAUUCCAUCCCCAGGUGCCAACACUAUUACCACGCUAUUUAUUACCACGGCUAGCAACAAUUUUAAGAUUGUGGCAACAUGUAUCUAUUGCCACAAUUUUAGCAUUGAUGUUAUGAUUUUUUUCGUAGCGAUAAAUUAUUUUUCUAGUAGUGGUGCAAUUGCAAUGGAAUUUUGUCGUUAGGGCUCGUGGCGCAAAAGUCCGUAGCAAUAGGGUUUUUACCACUGGAUCUGUUUGCCUUUGCAAAUAAAAACUCAUGUUGCAACUGAAUGAACCAUGGCAAUUAAUAGAUAAGGCAACGGUUGGUUGGUGGUAAUACAAUGUACUGCAACGCCAUAUGUCGUUGCCAUAGGAACUAGUCGCAUUGCACCAAAGCGUGGUAAUAAGUGCUUUUGCAACGCCAAAAUGGUGUUGCAAAACAUGCAUUGCCACGGACCUCAAAUGUGGUAAUAGGUCGACCUCUAUUACCAUGCUCAUAGUUUGGUUGCUAUAGAUAGGUCCCACUAUUGCCAUGCUACAUAUGUAUCGUUGCUAUAGUUGGACUCUCUAUUGCCACUCUAUAUAUUUGGUUGCUAUAAGUGGGUACCUCUAUUUAACAUGCACAAUUUGGUGGCCAACCAGAUAAAUCAAAACAAUAUAUGAUAAAAAUAUAGCAUUUUAUACCCAUAACACAAUAUCUAUUGAUGAAACUAUCAAAUAUUAAAAUCGAGAAUACACUCAGUACUCAAAGACAAAAUAUUUGUAACACAAUUGUGCGAGGACAUCCAAAGCUAAAUAGCUAAAAUUCCAUGGAAUUCUUUCAUCUGGCUUGGAGUUCAGCAAAGCCAUCACGUUGCCUUCACGUCGACAUUCCUAUCAAUUAUCCAUCCACUUAGGUAGCUUUUUUAUGAAAAGAAAGAAUGACAUUGGUAUUUGCUUCAGCAGCAGGGUUGAUCAAACUGAGAGCGUAUAACAAAACCUUACACUUUGAUAGGUGAAACAGAAGUGUAACACCCCAGGUAUCAACUUACCUAGAAUGCUACACACUACGGAACAAAAACCACUAAGUCCUAAAUUCAUUAAGAAUUUCGACAGAGUCCCCCUUGUAAAUAUGGACAUCCACGACAAGCAGUUAUAAAUUAAACUAAUAAUAACAUCAUUUCCAUAGUGUAAUCCAUCCAUAUAACCCAUGGAAAGAGACUAAUAGAUAUCUAAAGGAUUAUUACAAGACCAAACCAGGAUAUAGUUUAAGUGUCAAUAUGGACCUAAGCAAUAUAAUUUGAUAGUGUGCAGAUAGGUGUGUAUACAAGGGUGCUACUUCCCGCCCAUGCAUGCCGAUCUCAAUGUGUACCUAAAACCGAAUAAACACUAGAGUGAGUACGGAAAUACUCCGCAAGUACAAUAUGGAACUAGAAAACACAUAUACACAUCAUUGGCAAUGAAGCAUAAAUAGAAAGCUUUCUUUCUUUCAUAAGAAACACAUUUUCAAACACCAAGUCAAAGAAAAUAGUAGUUCCCAUCCCGGGCAGGCAUGAAUUGAAAUAGUAGUUUCCAUCCCGGACAAUUGUGAAUACAUCCUAACAUUUGCCGGCAAAGCCGAGUAAGUUUGAUCAGCGCUUACUCACAGGAACAUUAAUAGAAAACCAGAUAGCACAUCCAUGAUUCGCAUGGAACAUGAAUAAUUGAAACCGGAAACAAAGAACCAAAUUGAAAUCAUAUCACACAUCCAUGGCAAGGAUGGAACAUGAAUUAUUUACCCAGAACCAGAAUCUGGAAUAUUGAAACAUGAAUAACGUCGUAAACAUGUAAUCAAUUAACACACACGUUCAAUACAAUCUCGGCGCAUCGCCACCCUUUUGCUUUAGUUUUAUUUCGAUGAGUUUUUGCUUUCGGGUUGAGCUGCAUCGGUUUCAAUCUUCAACAAGAGUUAAAACUUGUUAUGACGGCUUGCGUUCUCGAGAUUAGUGCUUCCAUCUUUAUGAUACUCUAAUCUUGUUUAUGUAAUUUCAUCGAGUUAUCAUAUAUCUUACAUAAUCUCCGGCAAUAUCGCUAUCUAACCUAUUAUUGGCUAACAUCUGUCAGUAGAGGGCAGCCGAUUAGGUUAAACAUCGAUGUUGACUUAGAUUAUAUAGGAUGUCCAUCACUCUAUGAAACUUCCAGCGGCUUGAUUGUCUAGAUAUUGUUCUUCUUUUCAUACUUAAUGCUGCAUCAGUUGAGUUUGAUCUAUUAAGUCAUGCUUAGAAUAUCAAUCUCUAGCCUGCCUUCUGGUUGCCGAUUAGGGUAGUAUCGGGGUUUCAGCCGAUCUUAUCUGAUUUAACUAUAUUUACUCUAUAUGCUUCAUUGAUAUGUUAAAUCUGCCCUUUAUGUUAAGAUCUUGUUGCAUUCAAGUAUAUUAGACUUUUGUUUUAAUAUAUUCUACUUGUUUUAAUAUCUUAGAAUAGAGUGGUAUCGGAGUAUUAGCCGGUACAUGCUAGAUCCAUUUGAUCGGCUAUGCUAUGAACACAUAUAAUCCCACUAUUAAUAUAUAUUUCGAUCUGAGUGAUUUAUACUGUCUCGGCAUGGCGACCGAUCUAUCCCAAUCACUUGAUUUAAGUAUAUAUCAAUAUAAUGAGUAUAUAUUGUUAAUAUCUACAGCCGAUCGAGUAGAUCUAAUGCUUUCUUAUUUACUCAUGACUGCCGAUCGAUACAUAUAUGACAUCGGCUCAAAGAUAAAUGAUAUGUCAUCGGCAUUUAGCCGAUCGGCUAUCGUUUAUAGGUUUAACCGCGGUUACUUUGUCUUUGUUUCUUGUUGAUUGUAGGAUCAAAUCAACUGGCACGCUAGCAUACCCAAAGGCGAGUUUUGGACCUGCACUAUAGUUAAGCAGAUCUCCUAGGCCUCGUGUUUUCCAUCAACAGAACCAUACUGAUAAAAGCCAAAAAUUUUAUUUUUCUCAGAAAUUCAUUAUGCAAAUUUGUCUCAAAAUUUAAAAACCUUGCUGCAAAGUUUUGGAAAAUUCAAAUAUGCUGUGAAUGCAAAAAUCAAAUUGAUGAAAAUAAGCAUGAGAUACAUACCAACUUUACCUAUUGGCGAGGGUGACGUCAAUUAUAGGUCCAACGAGCAGGAUCGUUCCUUCGUCAGUUCAGCUCGAAAGUUCUUUUUCCGUCCCUGGAGGUAAUGGAGCGGACGUCGUCUGUUUCACCCGUCACACCUUUUUUGGUCCUUGGUGUGGGCGAUGGCUUCUAGGUGCCGGAGCCACAAGAUUCUUGGCUCGUGCAUUAGUUUUUACCAGUGUCUUCUUUGCACGAGGCCUCUUUCUGGUUGUUUCAAUCUCCAGGAAUUUCUUCAUAAAGGCUAUGAUGCUAUCCAUCUCUGGUGGGUGCACUUCGACUUCUUGGAUCUGCGGUGAGUUCGGCCAGUACUUGAUCUUGACCAUUGAGCAAUGUUCUGCUCUUGGUCUGAAGUCGAAUUUCUCCUCCCUUCCAUUGAUGUGGAACCGGAUGUUCCUAGCUCCCACGUCUAUGCUGGCUUCCGCAGUAAUAAAAAAUGGACGGCCAACGAUCAAAGGCGUCUCCAUCUCCGAGUCCAUGACAAGAACCACGAAAUCCACCAGGAUGAAGAAAUCCUGAAUCUUUACUGGCACAUCCUCGAUGAUGCCCACUGGGUAGCAGAUGGAGGAAUCGGCCAGUUGGAGCCUCAUCGGUGUUGGGAUCAACACCAUGUAGUUUAGCUUGUUGAAGACGUCCUUCGGCGUCACGCUGACACUGGCCCCAAGAUCGCAUAAGGCCUGAUCGAAGUGUCGUGUCCCAAUUGAACAUCAGAUUGUGGGACACCCUAGAUCUUUCUUCUUUUCUGGGAGUCGGUGGAGUAUAGCGUUGCUACACUCCUCCGUAAGCUUGACCAUCUCCGUUGUAGGCAGUGGCCUUUUGUUGUUCAGGAUGUCCUUGAGGUAGCGGGCGUACGUCGGUACCCUUAUUGCAUCCACCAAUAGGAUGUUGAUGUGGAUUUUUGGAUGACAUCCAUGAACCGAGCGAAUUGCUCGUCCACGGAAGGCUUCUUCUGGCAUUGAGGAAACGACAGCAGCGUUGUGUCGCAGUAUUCCUAUGGCGGGAUUUUGUCGGGCUGCGCCUCCUCGUCUUCCUCGUGUUAAGUUGUGCUAGCUGUUGGUAUUUCUUACGACCAUAGAUAAAUCCGCAAGCGCACGGAAUACCGUUGUAGCACUUCACCCUCGGGUGACCCCAAAAGGAUAUCGAACUCAGGGAACGUGUAUAAUCUACCUAAGGCUAAGACGAUCCAAGGACAACAACUAUAGGUAGGCAGGCUAGAGAGGACUUUCUAUGAGUUUUAAUUAUCUAAGCUAAGCAAAGGUAAUUUCCGGCUAUAGCUCUAUGAUGUAUCCGAACGUGGAGGAUUACUGGGACGGGAUUCAGGGCUGUCACCACCUGCCGCCUACCUCUGACAAAUCCGUAGGAUACACAACAAACAAAAGUAAUCUCUAACCUAGACACCACGUCUAAGUUAUUAAUUACUACUCUAAUACUUGCGCAUGAACUUCCUUCUUUAUCCAGAGUCCUAGUACUAGAGCACUUAGUAUGAAUACUAAACAAUGAACCCGCAAAGAUGGAAAUAUAUCUUACUCAGACAAAGUAAUUAAAUAACAUAAGAAAGGAACACGAAUGCUUACUUUAUAGAAGAAGUUUUUCGAACCCGGAGCAGAGUGUACCGACAACUCCGGUACUCCUGCAGAAUUCCUCCUACGAAGCUACACUCGUCGAGGAAGAAGUUAGAUGAGCGCCAAACUUCCGGGCACUCCUCCAGAGCUUCCCCUCACUCUCUACCUUAUUCUAAUGUACAAAAGAUACAAUAGAGCCUCUUGUAAUUUAGCUCAAAGUUGUGUGCGUUGGAAUGAGAUGAAGACCUCUUUAUAUAGGCUCCAAAUGACAGUUAGGGGCAUGGGAAAUGACCAAAACACCCUGCAACCGCCAUAGGGGAGGAAUCCAAGCCGUCCAUUCCCUCUUCUUUUGCCUCGAAGGAUUUGUCAACAUGACCUGCUACCAACUUGGAGUCAGUUCGAAUUAGCAGGCGCCGGACUCCCAGUGCUUUCGCCUUUCUUAGGCCCAGGAGAACGGCUUCGUAUUCUGUUGCAUUGUUGGUUGUGUCGAACUGUCAUCUUGCUGCGUACCGAAUCGGCACACCAUUCGGCGAAAAGAGGACUGCCGCAACGCCUGCCCCCUUGUGCGACCGCGAACCAUCAAAGCACAUCACCCAGAACUGUUCGGCCGGCUCGGGGUCGGGGGCAAGUACUGGUGUCCAUUCAGCUACGAAGUCAGCUAGCACUUGAGACUUGAUAGCAGAGCGUGCAACAAAAUGCAAGUCGAACGGGGAUAGCUCUGCCGCCCACUUGCUGAGCCGGCCAGUGACUUCCAUGCCUCGGAGUAUUUCGCCCAAGGGGUACUGUGAUGGCACUAUGACUUUAUUGGCCUGGAAGUAGUGCUUAAGCUUGCGCGAAGCCAUCACUAGAGCGUAAGCGAGCUUUUCCAUUUCAAUGUACCUUGUCUUCGCUCCUUGCAGUGCUUCGGAGACGAAGUAGACCGGUUUCUGUCCGGACUCUGUUUCUUGGACGAGUGCUGCACUGACUGCCACCGGCGAAGCUGCCAAGUAUAAUAGCAGUUCGCUUCCUGGGGGUGGGCUUAUCAGAGCUGGCGAGCUUUGCAAGUAUUGCUUUAGCUCGUCGAAUGCUGCUUGGCACUCUGGUGUCCAAUUAAACUUUCCCGCGCCCCGGAGGGUCUUGAAGAAGGGCAAACCUCUUUCGGCCGCCUUUGAGAGGAAUCGACCGAGUGCUGUAAUUCGGCCUGCAAGCUUUUGUACUUCAUGUACGCUUGACGGAGGCUUCAUUUGCUGGAUGGCAUCGAUUUUCUCGGGAUUCGCCUCGAUGCCCCUUUAGAAAACAAGGAAACCCAACAACUUGCCUGCGCGGACGCCGAAAACGCACUUCUCCGGAUUCAGCUUUAUGCCUGCCGCGCGCAAGCUGUCGAACAUCUCUUGCAGGUCGAUCGCAUGGUCAAAAGCCUUGCGGCUUUUUACGACGAUGUCGUCGACGUAAGCUUCCACGUUUCACCCCAACUGCUUGCCAAGGACCUUGUACACCAGCCUGGCGAAGGUUGCUCCUGCGUUCCUUAAGCCGAAAGGCAUCCUGAGGUGACAAAAUGUACCGAAUGGAGUGAUGAAGGAUGUUUUGGGGAUGUCGAGCGGGUUCAUGUGGAUCUGGUGGUAACCGGAAUAUGCAUCCAGGAAACUCAUGAGCUCGCAUCCAGCUGUUGAAUCCACGAGCUGGUCGAUUCGCGGCAAGGGGAAAUCGUCUUUCGGACAUGCCUUGUUCAGGUCUGUGAAAUCGACACACAUGCACCAUUUGCCAUUUGACUUCCGCACCAGCACUGGAUUCGCCAACCACUCCGGAUGGUCAAUCUCUUGAAUAACGCCCGCCCGGAGUAAUUUUUGUACUUCGGUCUUCGCCGCUUCUUGGCGAUCGGCAGACAUCUUGUGCAACUUUUGUUUUCUUGGCUUAAUAUUCGGCUUGACUGCUAAGUGAUGCAUGAUGAGAUCUGCCGGGAUGCCCCCCACCUCGUCAGGGCUCUAGGCGAAGAUAUCGAUGUUCUUUUUGAGCACCUCUAGUAUGCUCUCAACUUCUUCUUCGCCCAUGUCGCCCCCCAGUGAUAUGAGCUUUGUGGGGUCGGCAUCAUCAAUCUGUACUUCUGUUACCUUGCCGUGAGGGGUAGGCUUCGGCGUGUGCUUCGGCCGCUCAUGCGGUUCGGUCUCAACAUUGUGCACUGCUCUGUUGAUUAUGGCUAGAUCGCGUUUUGAAGCGGCCGAAGGCUGAAGCCCCUUGACUACUAUCACCCCUGUUGGGCCAGGCAUCUUGAGCUUGAGAUAAUUGUGGUGGGAUGUUGACGACGUCGAACAGUAUUUGCUCUUCGCGCCUGUUUUCUCCCGAGCCGAAAGCUAUCAGCAAAAGUGCUUGGCCAAGAACUUGCACUGCCUCUCCGCCGAACCCCCGGAGCGACGUUGGUGCUGGUGUAAGAGCUUGGGUUGGCAAGCCCAUCUUAGCAUAUGCUUCGGCGAAGAUCACGUCGGCCGAACUCCCUCCAUCGACCAGGAUUCGUCGGACUUCAAAACCGGCUAUCUCAGCUGAGAUUACCAGUGGAUCUUGAUGCGGGAACAGGACUCCUUCGGCGUCUUCUGGCCCAAAAGAGAUUAGUUGGUUCACGUGGCGCCCCCUCACCCGCUGAAGUGAUGCUGUGGACCAUGCGGAUCUGCAUCUUCCUCUGCCAUUUCGACAACUGGCUUGGCGGGUCAGCUCUUGUAAUCACUUGGAUUACCCUUCGUUGUGUAUCUUGGCGUUGUUCGGCUGGGGGUGUUUGCUCCUGAACUGCUUCACGGGGUGCUUCGACAGUUGUUCCCUGCUGCGGCCUUGGGUCUUGCGCGUUGUCACGUUGCCUAAUGUUUCGGCAUUGCUCCGUGGUGUGCGAAGAGCGUCCGUGAAAGGCGCAGUAGAGGUCUUUUCGGACCUUCUUGCGGGCUGGCUGCUGAUGGUUGGUUGCUUGCUGGGCGUCGAACUUCUUGCGGAGGGCUUGCACUUCUUCGACAGCCAUCACAGCUUUGCCCGCCCGAUCUGUUCUAAACUUUCUCCAAGUCAUGGGGGCUUGGCCUUGCCUUGGCGGCUGUCCCUGGAUCGCCGGCUGAGACUGGCGAACAGAGAGGGGAGGUGGUUCGGCAAUUUGAACUUGCGCUUGAGCUUGAGCAGCGGCGACGGAGGCUUUAUCGUACUCAGCUUGUAUAGCUUAGAAUCCUCCUCACCCCUUGCGAACCCGUCAAUGAUGCGAAGUAGGUGCUCGAGCGUCUGCGGCUCCUUGUUGGCGAUUUUUCUUGUUAGUUCGCCCUCAAGCAGACCGGCCGAAGUGGCGUUUAUAACCGACGCCUCGGUUAUGUCUUGAACUUGGCACCGGGCUUGCGAGAAGCGACGCAUGUACUCCCUUAUCGACUCCCCCGGCCUUUGGCGAAUGCGAAGAAGGUGUUGCUGCGUCUUCGGCUCCUCAUAGGUGCCUCGAAAGUUAAGGACAAAAACAUCGCGCAAUUGCUCCCAUGAGUAAAUGCUAUUGGCUGGUAAAUUGAAAUACCAAGAACGGGCGAUGCCGUCUAGAGCGAGAUGUAUUACCUUCGCCUUGGUAUUUUCGUCACCAUGAGCCGCUUCAAUCGCUGACUCAUAGAUGGAGAGGAACUCCUUCGGGUCAGUUUCGCCCGAAUAACGCGGGACAGGUGGGAACUUGAACUGGGGCGGGAUUGGACGAGUCUUGAUUCCCCCACUCAGCGGUAGCCCCUUUUCGCCUCCCGCCCUUUUUACCGCACCUUGCUGCGGGUACGGUGUGGUGAAGGGCGAAAUCGCAGCUUGUGCGUGGAGUUGGGCCGUGGCAUUCGACUGCCCGGCUCCAACUGGUGGUACUUGCUGGGCCGCCAUGGAUGGGUCAAAGAUUGGCUGCGACCACAUCAUGGCAGCUUGGAUUGGUGCUUGGUUUGUUCCGAAGCCUGGGGUUGGAACUUGCUGCCGAACGGUUGGCACCUGAGCAGUGUUGACGAAGAAGAACUGCGGUCCUUGACUCCACGGCGAAGGUCCCGAGCCUGGCUGAAUUGGUGGCAACCAAUUGGGCGCACCUUGACUUGUAUUCCCCACCGGGUGAGCCGAUGGGGUUGUGCUUGAAAUGUAGUGGGGUUGGUUGAGUUGCUGAAGGAAAGCUUAGAGUUGCGCCUGCAGAGCCGAAGCCCCUUCCGCCACUGAUUGUGGCGCUUCGCCAGGUGGUUGAUGCUGCCCGGCAAAGUACACCGGCGGCUGUGCGGCUAGUGGCGGAGAGGGCUGGGUCACCACUUGCGGCCGGACUUGAGGUGGGGCAUAGCCUGCCGAAUACUGAAGGAUUGGAGCUGACGUGGCCUUGGUCCGCCUUGUCGCCUCGUAUGCUUGUUGUUGUUCUUGCAUUUGGCGAAGCAUGUCUUGUAGCCGUGUCAUGUUCUGCCGCAUGGCUUCCAUGUCGGCUUCGGCUUGCGCUUCGGGGUCUAGACUGAUUUGGGCCUGUACAACGGUGAGCGCAGUUGGCGCCGCCGGCUGCGACGGGGCGGCUUGAGGCACCACCAGUUGGUUAGUCGAAAGGAUCUCCGCCCUGGUCUGGAGUGCCCUUGCCGCCGCAGCCGCCUUCGCCACGUCGGCCGUGUUCGGCACUUGCACUGAGGUUGCGGGGGCCGAAGACGGUUGUGGUGGCGCGGGGGCCGGAGGCGGCUGUGGUGGCGCUUGUGCUUCUCCAUCUUCGGCCACGGACGCCGAAGGCUUUGCUCCUUCCUCGGCGGCCAUGUCCGGUCCGGCGUCGCUCUCCUUCUGCCUGACAACCUUCUCCUUCACGACCCUCUUCGGUGGCAUUCGCUCCCAGUGGUUUCGCUCGGAGUCCCCACGGUCGGCGCCAGCUGCUGUCGAAACGACAACUGCAUACGUCGAAAGACGUGGUUACUCAACAGUGGUUGGGAAAAAUGAAGUGUACUAAAUUUUGAAUUUCACUUGGGAUCCCCCCAUUACAUGGCCCUAGAGGACUAUUUAUAGCCCCAUUACAAGUUCUUACUACCAGGGUUUAGGUUGUAGAGGGGAAUUUACAUGAUUACCCUUACAAAAGGGACAUUUACAGGGGUACAUAAUGUUAUAGGGGCUCAUGGGCCCCUGAUGGGCCGUCUGGCGAUCGCCGGCCUCAUGGGCCGGAAAGGCUUCCUCGGCUCUCGCGGGGGCGAACUUGUCAAGGCGAAGUCAUCCUCCUUCGGCAGACAGUCUUCGCCUUGCACCCUUCGCCUGAGACGCCUCUAGCCUGGCGCUACUCUUCGCCUUGCGCCGUUCUUGCUCCAUAGCCUUCGCCAUGGGUUUCGGCAGGUUUGGUUGAAGGGCCUCAUGCCAUCCGCCAACAAUUACCUUUAUAAGCAUUCUCUUAAUUUAAUACUAGAGUAAACUUAUGCAUAAAUAGUUAAGAAGCUUAUGACAUGUGUAAGGUAAUAUCAACAUCACCUCAGGUUAAGAAGUGUCUAAAUAUAACUUUUAUAAACAUUUACAUACAUUUAGGAAAGGAAAAUAAGUCUUGCUAAUUAUCUAAAAUAAUUUGUGCAAGAUAAAAUCAUUGGAAAAUUCAUGUAGGCUCUACUUAACCUAUACAACACAUAGUAAUUUUGGUAAAAUUUAAUAACUAAAUUUGAUACCUCAAAUAAAUCAGUUAAAUCAGUCAAAUAAUAGACUAAUUAUAAUUCCUAAUUGGCUAAAACCAUACCUUGUCUAAAAGUGCAAUUAAUUGCAUGGAAGUGUAUAGGAGAAAUAAUUUAUUCAAAUACUAGGUCAUUUAUCAUGAAUAAAUAUAAUUUUACCAGAAUUUAUCUUCUCUGUUUAAUCUCCUAAAAAUUCAAACUAAUUUCCAAAGAGCCCAUUUUCUCCUAAUUACUGUGAGUAAUAUAUUCAAAAUUUUUAAGUGCAAUUAAAGAAAAUGGAAUCUAAGAAAAUGGAAUCUAGAUAUCUCGAACUUUCAUAACAAAAAAUCUACACUAAUUUAUCCUGGCCAUAAAAUAAACUAUGGAGUUACAAAGAAAGGGUGAGAGAAUUAAUCCAAAAAAUUCGUCCAAAACCACUUACACGGUUACACCCAAUCAUCUACUCGUACCAGUCUCACCCACCUAGCCUAUAUCACCCUGGACCCACAUGGAAACCUCUCUGAGUCACUUCUUCUCUGUCCAUAUUCUAUUUCUCCUCCAUCCAACACAGUGACAGCCGAGAGAGAGACCGAGGGCGCCGACCGGCACUGGACGGCGUCGACGCGUGGCCUCGACGUGGCAGCGCCGAACCGAGGCUUCACCUCCACCCAGCUGCAUCGCCUCCUCCCCAUUACCACUCCUGAGCCAAGCAAACCGAGGGGGAGAGCUCCGGCUUUUCUUUUUCAUCUCGACCUUGCCGCCGGCCGUGAAGACGACGGCCGUCGCCAUCGCCAUUGUACCGUGGUCGUCUCCUCUCUUCUACCGUUCCAUACUCUCCUCCUCAUGCAGAUCAUCUUCUAUUUUGACACCACGUCAUUUCAUCCAGUGCAGCCACGAGAACGCAGAGCUCGCCGACGAUGCUCUGGAGCGCGCACUGGACGCCGUCGUCGGGUUCUCGUCGUCGUUUUGACCGAACCGAACCACCCCAAGCCGAACACUUGCGCCACCAGGAUAGCCUCGACGUCCUCUUCGAAAGCCCUCAAGAACUCCAGCCAGUGCCGCAACGACGAGGGAGAUCGGCGUCUUCUUCCUCAAGUCCGGCCGCCGACCACCGUCGUUGAUUCCUUGAUCCCGGGUGAGCUUCGGCGCAAUUCCUCACUCGUGUAGCAUCUUUAGAUGAUCGUUGAGCCGUUCCACUCUUUUUCAUGACAGCUCGAAGUCCGGAUGGUGGUUGUUACCGUUGCCAUGCCGAUUUCCGCCGUGGGGAUAUCCUCUGCAUCAUCGUCACUAUCCAGGCCUACCCGUACCUCGUCCGAGAUUUGGUGAGCACCCUGCAGCCUAUGGAACAUACAUGCAUGCACCCAAUUAACCAAUAGAAGCACAUGCACCACCACCCGAAAACAUCCUCUACUCGGACUCGCCGCUGGCGCUACUCCGAUGUCCGCUAUCUGAGAAAUGCAUAGGAAUGGAAUCGCGAUAGCAUGCCCUUCAUUUUCUAUUUUGGUCGCAACCCCAACGGAGUCACCGUUUGUCGCCAACACCGGCGAGCAGAGGUGCCGCCCAUGGCUGCUCUGCUGCUUAUCGAAUGGAGAAGAAACAGGGACUUCAUUUUGAGAAUUUAAACAAAUAUAAGGUUCAUUAUGUAAUGUUUCCACUCAAUGACAUAUGGACCUAGGACUGCGGGUUGAUUUCCUGAAACCAUAGAGGCCUUUUUGCAUAUUGGCCUCAGACCGACAGGUUGACCCCAUGAGUUUAAAAUCUGAAAAUGUAAAAGAUAAUACUAAAAGCCUUUACUUUUAAACAGGAAAACACCUAAACUUGUAAAAUCCAUAUAAAAUCAAAUAUAACUCUUUUUGAGAUUAUUCAAAUUUCUGUGAACUCACCAAGUUAUGAAAUUUAAUGUUAUGGAAUAAAAACUUGCACUCACAGUACAAAUGUAGCCUCUAAAAUUUAUCUAAGAUAAAUCAUACAUAAAGCAUAUACAAACUUAUAAGAUGCAUACAAAAUUCAUUUCAACUCAUUUUAGAGAAAACUUAGUUUCUACAUAUCCACCAACAUGUUCUCUAAAAACAAAGUAAAAUAAAACAUAUACACACUUUACAUCAAAUGCCUCUAAAACUAUUAUCUUUAAAAUAACUAGUUUUGCAUAAGCUGAACUUUAGAAGUUCAUAUAAAAUUCAUCUUUGAUCCUUUUUGAGUAAACUCAAGUUAUGUAGAAUCAUAGAGUUGUGCACUUCAAUGUUAUAAAAUAAAAUGACAUAGUUACAGUAUAAUAAAAACCCCUAAGCAUUUAUGUAAGGAAUAAGCAACAUGGAGCAUACCUUAAAUUGUAAAAUUUGUAGAAAAAUCAUCUUUAGUCUAAAUGAAGUGAACCAAAUUUCUGUAGAACCAGCAAGUAAUAUUCUUCAACCUAGUAGAGUGAAUUAUGGAACCCUCUGUACAGACCAUAGCUCUAAACCUUAAUUUGGUAGAAUAAGUACUAAACCCAUAAUAGUGGUUAAACAAUACAUAUGAAUAUAUAUAUAUAUAUAUAUAUAUAUAUAUAUAUAUAUAUAUAUAUAUACAUGCAUGGUAGCUCCAAAUAAAACUUGUUAGGACUAGUGGAGCCAUAGUUCCAUCCCCAUCCACCAAAACUUAGAUGAACUUAGCUCAUAUAAAAAUUUCUAGGUUGAUAUAAUAUAUUGCUAGCAUAGACUAGAGCUUCCCUAGUUUAUAAAAAUAUGAACCAUGAUAAUAAAAACCAUAAGCUUAUGAACUAAGGUUAGAUUAGUUAACUAAAAUACUCAUUUUAUUCAUCACUACCUAGAUGAGGCAAGUUCUAGACCUAAACCUCUAAAGCCAUGAACCUAUACAACACUAUACACCUAUAACACAUUAUAACUUUUAAAAUACAUAAAGAAUUCACAUUAACUCCAAAAAUUAUGAAACCAAAUGUGUUGGUCUUAGAAAACAUAUAUAUUCACCCCAGCAAACACAAACUUAAUAAGAAUCACCUUACAACAGCAUUUCACAAUAGUACCUAAGUAAAUCCUAUACUAUACCAAGCAAACUUCUAAAAUUCAUAACUCCCAAAUAAAAAGAGAUAAAAUAGAAAUUCUUUCACUUAAAUUCAUCUUAGACCAGUACCUAUCCACUGUGCACAAAUCAUACAUUUUAGAGCAUUUUGGAUUUUUCGCAUAUUUCGGUGUUUAAUUGCAUAACGUGUACUUUAUAUAGAUAAUUGCUUAAUCGGUGAAGAAGUGAAUUAGGUGCUGACAUUUUCCAAAUUCAAGGCAAGUCCCACCUCCCUCUCUUUGAUCACAUUGAACCUAUGUUUUGGAGAUUAUUGAAAAUGUUUGCAAAUCUUGCAUGUCGAUUGUACACUAAUAAAUUAAAAUUUUGUUAAACUUGAUAGACAAACUCGUACUACUUGCAUUAUCAUCUUAACUGCACAUAUAUCCAUAUCCCUCAUUCCUAACCUUAGGAACAAUAUGACUAUACCACUUUAUAUAUGAGUUUUGGUGACACUAGGUUACUAUAAUGCUUAGCCAUGCUUAGAAUGGUCUUCCUUGUCAUUAUGGGCUCAUUACAAAUAUGAAAAUUGAUUUUUAAAUAAUCUUGACAGAACUUUAAUACUUGUGAUUUUGAUAAAUAAAAUGGUGGAAAACAUGGAUUUUAGGUUUAGGCCUUAAGUGGUGCACAUAUAGUGAUUAGUUGUGUACCGAUAGGGAGAGAGUGUGCCCAAACCGACCUAAGGACUUCACUCAAUGUCAGUUCAUUUCGUAUACAAUACAACCACAUAUGCUAGUAUGGGAUAGCCCAAGCUUAGUAAAUUAUUUAUGUUUUAGCCUUACAUUCUGGUAGGUCGGUGUGUAUGAGUUCGUAUAAUUCAGAGGAGCUUCCUAUUUACCCUGAAGUAGUAGUUUAGGUGACUAAGCGUGUCCAAUACAAUGGUAUUGUGCCACGUGGUGGGUUCCCAUUGUGUCCGCCACCACGGCGUUAAGUUUAAGGCGUGGGCCCGCCACUUAACAGUUCUAGGUCAUAUUUCCAGUAUGACUAGGAUGGAGGAACACGUAUCGUGCUGGUGUAAGGCUAAAUCAUGAAUUUUGGAAAAGCUUUGUUGUAGGUAAUAAAUCAGGUACUUAUGUAUCACAUGCCAUGCUCUUGAAUGAUUAUUAUUUCGCAUUAUGUGGGUAAAGUGUACAAACUCUGCAGAGUAAAAACUAAUCGAUUAGCUGUGCUCGCGGUCAUGAGCGGCGUGUGGAUAUGUAUUGAGUAUAGACUUACCUUCAAAUUGUGAUGAGAUUUGAGAAUCAUCUCCUUGCUGCCAUGGAUGGCAAUGAGGUGCAUAUUUACACAUGAUUAAUGUCUACUUUGAUGCUCAUAUGCUAAAAUACUAGCUUGCUGAAAUUUAUUUGAAAGCAAAUCUUAUUUGAAAGUGUUUUAUGCAAAUAAAACUUGCUUUAUGCUAAAAAGAACCAUAUUAUGCCUUCCUUGAUUAUAUGCCUUGCAAGUAGGGUGUUAGGUUUGUCUUGGUGCUUGCCAGUACAUUAUUUCUAAUAAUGUGCUGACUCUUUCUGUCGGAGAUAUGGGCCCGGGGGUAUAUGAAGUGAGGGGAAGUUACCUUCCCAUCCAGCCGUGUGGCUCUACAGCCUAACCCUACUCCCGCACCUCGCGAGUCACAGAAGCAGCCGGGGGGCCUCGGGAUGCCACGUCGUGCCCCUCUGGCUCGCCCGCUACCUCGCCCCGAGGCCCUCACCCAGCUGCCAUGUGGCGGGGGGAGCGAGCGAGAAGGGGACCCAAGCUGAACAGCCAUCAAUGCGCGGCGCCCCAACUGUCCCUCACCGCGUUUAAUGCGGUAAGGGUAGACGUGCGAUGCCGCCUAGCUGACCCACGUCAAUCGGACAAUCGGACGUGACCAGUCUAUGACCGGCCUGUUGCUGGUCACGUCCGAUUGAACGGGCGGCCAUGCCCCCACGUCGCCUCUAUAUCCGACGGAGUGGAGGUAGGUAUGACCCGUCCCAUCGGAGCGUCAUUCGGAGGAGGACCACCACAAUUCUUCACUCAUUUAUGAGGGAAUGACAGGGCUGUCCCCCGUGUCAGGCGGGGGGCAGUGCUGGGUCCCACUCAAGGACUGGCUGUUGCUUAGCUUUCGGGCGAAGGCACGGAUCGUGGCCCGGUCAUGGUAAAGUGGGUCCAAAUCCCAUGGAAGGGUAGGUAGAGGCAGUGCAUGUGGUAUCCCCUUGAACUAUAAAAGGAGGACAUUGCCCAUCGAGAAGGGGGACGACUCUUAGAAAACCUGAACUCUAGGAGAAGAAGGGCGAGAGAGCUCUCCGGAGUGAAGGAAUCCUUGUAACACUUAACCAUAAUCUCAAACACAGGAGUAGGGUAUUACGCUCCACAGCGGCCCGAACCUGUAUAAUCCGAUUGUGUGCAAGCUAGUUAGCAGCCUUAGGGGUGGAUACGUGAUUUCUAAGAGGCGAGCUUCUUCCCCCGGCCGAACCCACGAAAGGGGGGUCUUACGACCUCCCGCUAUCAAGGGACUUCCCUCGACAGCUGGCGCACCAGGUAGGGGGCAGUCGCGCGCUUUGAAGAGAAGUUGUUUUCUUCUGCCCCAAGUUUCCCUGGGCCCUUGACGAUCAUGGUCGAGGUCCUGGAGGUGGAGGAGGCGGUGGCGUUUACCCCCACCCCGUCCGGGAGUGCACGGGGUGGGGAUUCUAGUGGGAGCCGCGGCCCUCGUCACCGUCGCCGUGACUCCCCAACUCCUCCCAGAUGCGAACCCUCGCGGAGGGAGGAUCCCACCCUUUCGGGUGGUUCGGCCCUCUCUCCACCCCGGGCGGAGGGAGGCCACGACGCGUUGGGGCACGACGCCGCCUCACUUACGGCGAUGGCGGUUCGCCCCGAGGCGCGCUUCAGGCAGCGGGUGCCUUUCUGCGGCAUCCCCCCGUGAACUCGGAGCCGGAGACCCCUGUUCAGCGCUGGCUGGACGACGUGGCCAACUUGGUCACCACUGCCCAGCGGCAGUUGGCCGCGGGCGGCCGACCCGCCACCACCAGUACGUCGCGUACCCCCGUUACCCUCUCCUCGUCGGCAAGGAGGAGGGCCCGUCGGUUGGCCACUGCCUCAAGGCGAUCCACGGCUCCAGCAUCGUCGGUGGCCUCGGGAAGCCGGAGGCGUCAUGACGGUCUCUACGGGGAGCAGGACGCUCGGAUCAACAUCGACCGACGCAGGGACGAGCGCCGAGCUGCCCGCAUGGGGGAAGGCACCUCCUCAUCUGGAGUGCCACGUUCCUCCUUGAAGGUGCACUUAAACCCCCUAGUGGGUUUUGGUGAUUAAUGACAAGGUGGUUAAAGGGGACUAACGUGUUUAUCAAGUUUAUUCACAGGAGUUUAGUCCCAAAGCAAGUUGUGAUGGCUAAGAAUGCAAGGAGACCCCCCCAAUUUGAAUGUUCCUAAGUGCGAAAAACACCGAAGGUUAUUAGACUAGGUUUUUCUCUUUCGAAAUUGAGUUUAGGAAAAACCAUACUAUUAAGAGGGGUUUCAAGUGUGGUUCUAGGGUAUACAAAGUGCUCUUAGUCAUAUCCAUGAGUCAAAAUAUUUUUGGAAUCUUUUUGAAAAAUGAUUUUUCUCCCCGGGACAGAGAGGGCUACCCGGAGGUUCUGGCCGGAACUUCCGGGCGCCAUUUCAAAAGCAAAAAUUUCCUAAGUGCUGCCCGAAACCUCCUGGCAGGUUUCCAGUUCAAACUUGUGAGUAACGGCUAGAUGACAUCACCUAGCCGUUAUAUAUAUAUGGAUUUCGUCCCCAGGUCACCCUUUGGCCAUUCCACUUCAGUUCUUUCAUGUUCUAGGGUUUUCUAGCCACUCCCAAGCUUCCUUUGCUUCCUCCACUCAAAUCUAGAGCCUAUCUUGUGAGAUUAAGAGAUUAGAUGAGAGUGUAGGAGUGCUUUGGAGAUGGCUUGAAGAUUAGGUUUGAUUGAGCACUUUGGAUACCUUGUGGGCUGUCACUUGGGCUUAUUACUCUUGGAGAUCUUCUCCUAGACGGUUAGGCAGCGCCGAUCCGAGGCUUCACCUCCACCCAGCUGCAUCGCCUCCUCCCCAUUACCACUCCUGAGCCAAGCAAACCGAGGGGGAGAGCUCCGGCUUUUCUUUUUCAUCUCGACCUUGCCGCCGGCCGUGAAGACGACGGCCGUCGCCAUCGCCAUUGUACCGUGGUCGUCUCCUCUCUUCUACCGUUCCAUACUCUCCUCCUCAUGCAGAUCAUCUUCUAUUUUGACACCACGUCAUUUCAUCCAGUGCAGCCACGAGAACGCAGAGCUCGCCGACGAUGCUCUGGAGCGCGCACUGGACGCCGUCGUCGGGUUCUCGUCGUCGUUUUGACCGAACCGAACCACCCCAAGCCGAACUCUUGCGCCACCAGGAUAGCCUCGACGUCCUCUUCGAAAGCCCUCAAGAACUCCAGCCAGUGCCGCAACAACGAGGGAGAUCGGCGUCUUCUUCCUCAAGUCCGGCCGCCGACCACCGUCGUUGAUUCCUUGAUCCCGGGUGAGCUUCGGCGCAAUUCCUCACUCGUGUAGCAUCUUUAGAUGAUCGUUGAGCCGUUCCACUCUUUUUCAUGACAGCUCGAAGUCCGGAUGGUGGUUGUUACCGUUGCCAUGCCGAUUUCCGCCGUGGGGAUAUCCUCUGCAUCAUCGUCACUAUCCAGGCCUACCCGUACCUCGUCCGAGAUUUGGUGAGCACCCUGCAGCCUAUGGAACAUACAUGCAUGCACCCAAUUAACCAAUAGAAGCACAUGCACCACCACCCGAAAACAUCCUCUACUCGGACUCGCCGCUGGCGCUACUCCGAUGUCCGCUAUCUGAGAAAUGCAUAGGAAUGGAAUCGCGAUAGCAUGCCCUUCAUUUUCUAUUUUGGUCGCAACCCCAACGGAGUCACCGUUUGUCGCCAACACCGGCGAGCAGAGGUGCCGCCCAUGGCUGCUCUGCUGCUUAUCGAAUGGAGAAGAAACAGGGACUUCAUUUUGAGAAUUUAAACAAAUAUAAGGUUCAUUAUGUAAUGUUUCCACUCAAUGACAUAUGGACCUAGGACUGCGGGUUGAUUUCCUGAAACCAUAGAGGCCUUUUUGCAUAUUGGCCUCAGACCGACAGGUUGACCCCAUGAGUUUAAAAUCUGAAAAUGUAAAAGAUAAUACUAAAAGCCUUUACUUUUAAACAGGAAAACACCUAAACUUGUAAAAUCCAUAUAAAAUCAAAUAUAACUCUUUUUGAGAUUAUUCAAAUUUCUGUGAACUCACCAAGUUAUGAAAUUUAAUGUUAUGGAAUAAAAACUUGCACUCACAGUACAAAUGUAGCCUCUAAAAUUUAUCUAAGAUAAAUCAUACAUAAAGCAUAUACAAACUUAUAAGAUGCAUACAAAAUUCAUUUCAACUCAUUUUAGAGAAAACUUAGUUUCUACAUAUCCACCAACAUGUUCUCUAAAAACAAAGUAAAAUAAAACAUAUACACACUUUACAUCAAAUGCCUCUAAAACUAUUAUCUUUAAAAUAACUAGUUUUGCAUAAGCUGAACUUUAGAAGUUCAUAUAAAAUUCAUCUUUGAUCCUUUUUGAGUAAACUCAAGUUAUGUAGAAUCAUAGAGUUGUGCACUUCAAUGUUAUAAAAUAAAAUGACAUAGUUACAGUAUAAUAAAAACCCCUAAGCAUUUAUGUAAGGAAUAAGCAACAUGGAGCAUACCUUAAAUUGUAAAAUUUGUAGAAAAAUCAUCUUUAGUCUAAAUGAAGUGAACCAAAUUUCUGUAGAACCAGCAAGUAAUAUUCUUCAACCUAGUAGAGUGAAUUAUGGAACCCUCUGUACAGACCAUAGCUCUAAACCUUAAUUUGGUAGAAUAAGUACUAAACCCAUAAUACCAUAAUAGUGGUUAAACAAUACAUAUGAAUAUAUAUAUAUAUAUAUAUACAUGCAUGGUAGCUCCAAAUAAAACUUGUUAGGACUAGUGGAGCCAUAGUUCCAUCCCCAUCCACCAAAACUUAGAUGAACUUAGCUCAUAUAAAAAUUUCUAGGUUGAUAUAAUAUAUUGCUAGCAUAGACUAGAGCUUCCCUAGUUUAUAAAAGUAUGAACCAUGAUAAUAAAAACCAUAAGCUUAUGAACUAAGGUUAGAUUAGUUAACUAAAAUACUCAUUUUAUUCAUCACUACCUAGAUGAGGCAAGUUCUAGACCUAAACCUCUAAAGCCAUGAACCUUCUCCUAGACGGUUAGGUAUCGCCUCGGUUUUGGAGAUGGCUUGAAGAUUAGGUUUGAUUGAGCACUUUGGAUAUCUUGUGGGCUGUCACUUGGGCUUAUUACUCUUGGAGAUCUUCUCCUAGACGGUUAGGUAUCGCCCGUGAGCUCUCAAAGAUCUUGUGGAUGUCCCGGGAAAGUUUGUGAAGGCUUUCGUCACCUCCGCAAGGAAACGAGGUAAGUGAGUAAAGAUUCUUGUGCUGAGUUUCAAGAGGUUGUCCUUGGUAGCGCAACUUGCACUUGUGGUCUUUUCUAGAAGGAAUUGUAAGUUGGAUCUUGGUGGUCACUCAAUUCUAGAAAACGACCUAGAAGUGUUGAGUUGAAGGCUGUGGACUUCUUCUGAGAUCUUUGCAUAAGUGAGGUAAGGGGUUAAUUGAGACCCGGCUCUUUAAGCACCUCAACGGAGAGUAGGAUCCGUGUGAUCCGAACUUCUGGAAAAAAUCUCCUUUGUCUCUCUUGUGCAUGAUCUGUGUUUGAAUUGGCUGGUAUCUUGUGUUUUUCAUCUUGUGCAACCCUGUGCCUGAUUUUCCCUAGCUAGGACCUAUUUUUCUUCUAUUAUUUUCGUUUAUCUCUGUUGCCCGGAAGUUCCUGGCUCAAGAACUCUGGAAGUUCCGAGCUGCUCAUCACUGCUAGGAAGUUCCGGUGUUUAUCACUAGAAGGUUCCCGGCCCUGUCAAUUUAACCGCUGCGAUUGUUGAGAAAAUUUCAGGAAAGCCUAUUCACCCCCCCUCUAGGCUACAUCUCUGCACGUUCAAUUGGUAUUAGAGCAUAGUGCUCUUAAUUCAAGCUUCACCGCUUUGAGUGUUCCACGAUGUCGGACUUAGGGGGAAAGUACGGGGAAAUUGGUAAUGAAGAUGGAGCGAGCAGCAAGGGAACUCCAUCACCCGAGGGAGCUACUAUACCUUUUGAUUAUAGCAAACUGCAAACUUACCAUUCCUCCUCACAACUUCGUCUCCGUGCCUUCCGGGCGUGCUCCUCAAUUUGAUGGGACACAUUAAGCCGCUUGGAAGCACAAGAUGAAGUUGCAUCUAAUCUCUUUGCAUCCAAGUAUUUGGAAAGUUGUUUGUACAAGUAUUGACGUACCUCAUGAAGACAUGGAGCUCACUUCGGAGCAAGAACAACUCAUCCACCGCAAUGCUCAAGCUUCCAAUGCAAUUCUCUCCGCCUUGAGUCCGGAAGAGUUCAACAAGGUUGAUGGACUAGAGGAGGCCAAGGAGAUAUGGGGUACUUUGCAAUUGGCUCAUGAGGGAUCACCCGCCGUUCGUGAUGUCAAGAUUGAAUUAUUGAAAGGAAGGCUUGGAAGAUUUGUGAUGGAUGACAAGGAGAUACCACAAGAGAUGUAUGAUAGGAUGAUGAUUCUUGUCAACAAGAUUAAAGGACUUGGGAGUGAGGACAUGACAAAUCACUUUGUUGUCAAGAGACUUCUUCGUGCUUUUGGUCCAAGAAAUCCCACUCUUGUAUCAAUGAUACGGGAAAGGAAAGACUUCAAGAGGCUCACCCCAAGUGACAUUCUUGGAAGAAUUGUGUCUCAUGAGAUGCAAGAAGAGAAAGCUCGUGAAGUGAGGUAAAUGGUGAAGAAUGCUGUCAUGAUCAAAAAUCAAGAAGUUGCUUUGAAGGCAAAACAAGAAGAAGAGUCAAGUUGUGAAGAAAGUGAAGAUGAAGAAAUGGCUUUUAUUGUCAAGAGAUUCAAGCACUUUCUUCGCAAGAGUGGCUAUGGCAAAGGGAGGAAGGAUGAUGACAAGGGAAAGAGGCAAUCAAAGAGAGCGUGCUUCAAUUGUGGCGAAUAUGGCCACUUUAUUGCCGAUUGUCCCAAGUCAAAUGAAGCUAAGGCUAAGGGAGGCAAGAAGAAGCCAGAGCGUGCUCAUGUGGCGGAGGCACACAUGGCGGAAGUUUGGUACUCCGAAGAUGAAGAAGAUCUCGAGGUCAAGCCCAAGCCCAAGUCAAAAGACAAGGUUGAAGGAGAAGGUGGUGUUGCUACCGUCGCCUUCAAGUCAUCUUCUUCAAGCAAGGAGCGUCUCUUCAACAACUUGAGUGAUGACGACGACGACUCCUACCACUACUCUUGCUUCAUGGCCCAAGGCCGCAAGGUGAUGACUCAAAAGCCCACUCAAACUUCUCUUGAUGUUGAUUCUAGUGAUAAGGAAAGUGAUAAUGAAUUAGAUGAUGUGCUUAAGAGUUUUAGCAAACCCGCUAUGCAACAUUUGGCUAAGUUAAUGAGAGCUUUGGAUAGUAAAGAACAAUUACUCGAAAGGCAAGAAGAAUUGCUUAUUCUUGAGAAGAAAAGAAACCUUGCCUUAGGGGAGAGCUUAGCUAAAGAAUGUGCUAAAAAUGAACACCUUACUAAUGAGUUUAAUUUGGCUAAUGGUUCUUUAGCUAGCAUUAGAAAUGUCAAUGAAACUCUUCAAGAGAAAUUUGCUAGUUUAGAAAAAAGUCAUAAAGAUCUUGAAGUUCAAUUUGACACUCUUUGGAAUAGCACUUCUCAACCAAAUGUGGUUUCCAAUUCUUCUAACCCUUCUACUAGCAAUGGUUGUGCUAGGUGUUACAAUAUUGAUUUGAACUCUUAUGCUACUAGUGUUGAUGCUAUGCAAGCUCUUAAGAAAGAGAAUGAAAGGUUGGGCACUUUGGUGAAAUAUGGGUGCAUGAAGACAUACCAUUCAAAAGAUGCCCUUUACAGGACCAUCACCGCUCAUCCUAACAAGGAUGGACACGAGCUCGGGUUUUCGGGUGGAAGUCCUGUGUCUAAGCGUGUGAUGAUAAAUGGGAAAGAAUGCUUGAUGUUUGUGAGAGAAGGUAAAGCUCCACAAGCAAGUGAGGUGACUAGUCUUGUGAGCAGCCAGGGACCCGGAACAUCCGGACAAACCGGGCGAAACUUCCAGGUGGGAGUCUCUGUCUCUCAAAAAUUCCCACCAGGAAGUUCCGACCAGUUUACCAGGAAGUUCCGGGCCAAUGGCUGUGCACAAGACAUGACCGGAAGUUCCGGGCAUAAUGUCAGGAGGUUCCGUCCAGAUGGUCUUUACUAUGAUUCAUAUGUAAUUUCCAAAAAUUCAGAGGGCAAAGUGGUUGCUUAUUUUAAUGGGAAUUACAAUGAUGAGUACCGCACUUGUGUGUGGGUGCCAAAGGCUUUGGUGACUAACAUCAAGGGACCCAAACUUAGACAAGUUUGGGUUCCUAAAUCCCAAGCUUGAUUUCUUUUGUAGGCAUACUCCUCUGGUGGUUCAAGUUGGGUUGUGGACAGUGGUUGCACCAAUCAUAUGACUGGAGAGAGGAGUAUGUUUACAAGUCUUGAUGAGGAGAACGGAACUCGUGAGAAUAUUGUGUUUGGAGAUAAUGGUAAAGGAAAGGUAAUUGGUCUAGGUAAAAUUGCCAUCUCCAAUAAUCAAUCUCUCUCUAAUGUUCUUCUUGUCAAUUCAUUAAGCUACAAUUUAUUAUCCAUUUCUCAAUUAUGUAAGUUGGGUUACAAUUGCUUGUUUACCGAUAAGGAUGUGACCGUCUUUAGAAGGGAUGACUCCUCCAUAGCAUUCAAAGGCAAGUUAAAGGGUGAUCUCUAUCUUGUCGAUUUCGAUGUGGAUAGAGUGAAUCCGGAAGCUUGUUUGAUUGCUAAAUCCUCCAUGGGUUGGCAAUGGCAUCGUAGACUAGCCCAUGUUGGAAUGCAGAAUUUGGCAACUUUUCUAAAGGGGGAACACAUCUUCGGGCUCACUAAUGUCACAUUUGAGAAAGAUCGUGUGUGUAGUGCUUGCCAAGUCGGGAAACAAGUUGGGAAUCCAUAUCCUAUCAAGAACAUCAUGACUACAACACACCCUCUUGAGCUUCUACAUAUGGAUUUAUUUGGGCCCAUUGCUUACAUAAGUAUUGGAGGUAACAAGUAUGGUUUUGUUAUUGUUGAUGACUUUUCCCGCUUCACUUGGGUGUAUUUUCUCCAUGAUAAGAGUGAGGCUCAAGAUGUCUUCAAGCACUUCGCCAAGCAAGCCCAAAACCUCUAUGAUCUCACCAUCAAGAGGGUGUGAAGUGACAAUUUAGGAGAAUUCAAGAACACUCAAGUGGAGGAUUUCCUUGAUCAAGAGGGAAUCAAGCACGAGUUCUCCACCCCCUAUGAUCCUCCUCAAAAUGGCAUCGUUGAGAGGAAGAACCGAACUCUUAUUGAAGCCGCAAGAGCAAUGCUUGAUGGGUACAAGACUUCGGAUAUCUUUUGGGCAGAGGCCGUGAGUACCGCAUGUCAUGCCAUCAACCGCUUGUACCUCCACAAGAUCCUAAAGAAAACUUCAUAUGAGCUCUUGAGUGGUAAGAAGCCUAAUGUUUCAUAUUUUCAUGUCUUUGGGAGCAAAUGUUUUAUUUUAAGUAAGAGGCCUCGCUCAUCUAAGUUGUCACCUAAGGUGGAUGAGGGAUUCUUACUUGGCUAUGAAUCAAAUGCACAUGCCUAUCGUGUCUUCAACAAAACCUCCGGUAUUGUUGAAGUCACUAGGGAUAUGACAUUUGAUGAAUCUAAUGGCUCCCAACGAGAGCAAGUUGUUGUACAUGUUGUAGGGGAUGUGGAUCCAAGUCAAGCUAUAGGUACUAAGGCUAUUGGAGACAUACGAGCAGUCGAGUCGCAGGAUGACCAAGAAGAUAGGGAUCAACCUCCGUCAUCGACAUCCAAUAGCCCUACAAGUGCUGUGUCUACUGAGCCGGAAGUUCCAGGUCCUAUUGACCGAAACCUCCGGAGAUCUCCAGGCCCGGAAGUUUUGGGUUCUACAGUCCGGAACCUCCGGACCAGUGGCAGUGAAGACGUGCCAACGGCACAAGUGGAUGGGAUCAAUGCUGAGGGCACUUUAGAGCAUUCUGAUCAGGCUCAGGUCCUCCCAGUGCACCAUCCAAGGAUACAUCACACUGUCCAAAGAGAUCAUCUCGUUGACAACAUACUUGGUGACAUAAGAAAAGGGGUAACUACUCGCUCUCGUGUCGCAAGUUUUUGUCAACACUUCUCGUUUGUCUCUUCUUUGGAACCAACCAGGGUGGAAGAUGCGCUUGGUGAUCCUGAUUAGGUGAUGGCUAUGCAAGAGGAGUUGAAUAACUUCACUCGCAAUCAAGUGUGGACUUUGGUGGAGAGAUCCAAGUAAAAUGUCAUCGGCACCAAGUGGAUCUUUCGCAACAAGCAAGAUGAACAUGGGGUGGUUGUAAGGAACAAAGCCCGGUUAGUUGCGCAAGGGUUCACCCAAGUCGAGGGUCUCGAUUUUGUUGAAACCUUCGCACCUGUAGCUCGCCUUGAGUCAAUUAGAAUUCUUUUAGCCUAUUGCCACUCACCAUGAUUUCAGGUUAUUCCAAAUGGAUGUCAAGAGUGCCUUUCUCAAUGGACCUAUCUCGGAGUUGGUCCAUGUGGAGCAACCACCGGGGUUCGAGGAUCCAAAAUUGCCAAAUCAUGUGUACAAGCUCCACAAGGCGCUCUACGGGCUCAAACAAGCCUCUAGAGCUUGGUAUGAAUGUCUCCGAGAUUUUCUUUUGAAAAAUAAUUUUGAAAUUGGAAAGGCGGAUACUACUCUCUUCAAUAAAAAAUUUAAGAGUGAUUUAUUCAUAUGCCAAAUUUAUGUCGAUGACAUAAUAUUUGGUUCCACUAAUGCUUCUUUUUUGAAGAAUUUAGUAGUAUCAUGACUAAAAAGUUCGAGAUGUCUAUGAUGGGCGAGUUGACCUUCUUCCUCGGGCUACAAGUGAAGCAAGCACAAGAGGGCACUUUUAUCUCUCAAACCAAGUACGUGAAGGACAUUCUCAAGAAGUUUGGGAUGGAAGAUGCCAAACCCAUCAAGACUCCUAUGCCUACCAAUGGCCACCUAGACCUUGACGAUAAUGGUAAAUGUGUGGACCAAAAGGUAUAUCGCUCCAUGAUAGGAUCCUUGCUUUACUUAUGUGCAUCUCGUCCCGAUAUCAUGCUUAGUGUUUGCAUGUGUGCUCGCUUUCAAGCGGAACCUAAAGAGUGCCAUUUGAUUGCUGUCAAGAGAAUUAUAAGAUAUUUAGUUCAUACUCCUGAUCUUGGCUUGUGGUAUCCUAAGGGUUGUGACUUUGAGCUUUUGGGCUAUUCCGAUUCAGAUUACGCCGGGUGUAAGGUUGAUAGAAAAAGCACAACCGGGACUUGUCAAUUUCUUGGGCGUUCCCUUGUUUCUUGGUCCUCCAAGAAGCAAAAUUCCAUUGCAUUAUCCACCGCCAAGCCGAAUAUGUCGCCGCCGGUUCUUGUUGUGCCCAACUCCUUUGGAUGAAACAAACUCUAAAAGACUUUGGCUACAACUUCACCAAGAUCCCACUCCUAUGUGACAAUGAGAGUUCCAUCAAAAUAGCCAAUAAUCCCGUUCAACACUCUUAAUGAGGCAAACCAGGAUGAUCUUCGCCGCGACGAUCUCGAUUAUCUUGAAGAACGGAGAAGGCCUGCGGCCCUGCGUGCUGCGCGCUACCAACAAAGCCUGCGGCGCUACCAUCAGCGCCACGUCCGGGCCCGAUCACUGUAAGUUGGCGACCUCGUCCUACGCCGCGUGCAAUCGCGUCUAGGGCUGAGCAAGCUCUCGCCAAUGUGGGAAGGGCCAUACAAAGUGAUCGGCGUUCCCCGGCCAGGCUCCGUUCGACUAACCACGGAGGACGGCACAGAGUUGCCUAACCCCUGGAAUAUCGAACACCUCCGUCGCUUCUAUCCAUAGCGUCGAGAUUUUUUGCUUUCCAGGCGCUCGGGCCAACCCCCGCACAACCACUCGGCUUGUGCGAGCUUGGCCGGGGGCUACCACUGGGUAUCCUUUUCCCUUUACAAGCAAUGAAUUUUUUCUAUUUAGUGUGAAGCCCGUUAUCCUCACUCUUUCCUCUGGCUUGUCCUGGUUCAAACGACAGUUCGCACUUACUCCGAACCCUAAGUGCCGUGGGGCGACCUGCAAACCACCGAAAGGGAGCCCAAACGCGGGCCGUGCCCCGGGUUGCGCCAAACCCCGGGGGCUCGGAGGGGCCUACACACGGCCGUCCCCGACCCCCGGUCGUCGUAGCCUCGGUCUGGCCAGUCCCGCUGGGUGGCUCCCUCGAGGCGACAGUCUUGCCCUUCACCACUUAGGUACCACGGACUGAGCGCGGAUUUACCUUUUCGCUAGAAUAAGCCCGAGGGGGGAGGAUGGGGUAAAAGCGUCAUUUCAAUCACAGGCAGAUUAAUUAUAUACUUUUGCUCUUGUUUUUUCUUCUUUCUGUGCCGCAGGCAUUCAAUGAAAAAAGCAAUGGGGUAAAAAGUGCGAAAAGGAAGUUUUAAUUGCGGACAAGACAAGACGGCACGAUGGCCUAAAUACAGGAAGUGUCCGCUGUAGGCACAGAACAAAAGGAAAUUGAAAGCGCGGGUAAUCACGGAGUGCCCAAGCCCCCGAGGCCGGCGCCGCUAACGACGUCGUCCCAGUCCUCGCCGACGACGUCGUCAUCUUCGUCCCCGCUCCCGCUCUCCUCGUCCGAGGCAAGCCCGAAGGUGAACCGGGGGGCCAACCCCUCGAAGUUAUAGACGAUCGCGUCGGCCGCCUCCCGGACUUGCUCCCGAGCCCUUGCCUCGGUCCCCGGUGGGAAAUCCUCGAGUGCGCGCCAUGGGACGAAGUCGGGGUCGCUCGCGUGGUGGCUCGCGAGGACUAGUUCCACCGCGGCCCGCGCCAAAGAAGCCGACGACAAUUUCACGGUCUCGCUGACCUCCUCCUCCAGCCUCUCCAGAUCCGCCGCCAGACCGUCCAGCCGGAACGCGAGUGCCGGCUGUGUGGGCGGAAGCUUACUAUCCCGGCGCACGGAGAUGCCGACUCGGCGCCCCGCACGCUCCAGCCGGUCGACGGCGUCGGAGAGCUGCCCGGGUCCGAUCCCGUUGGUGAGGCGGAGGACCGCAAUCUCCCCAGCCUGAUCUUGCACCAAGCGCUCUAGGUCGGCGAGAGCUCUCUGAGCCGUGGCAAGCUGGCUCACCAACUCCGCGCCGCCGGCUUGCCCGCCCGCCGCCAGGUCCUUCUCCCGGGCCUCCAGCUCAGAAGCCCUCACCGCUAUCGCCGUGCGCUCGGUGCGAGCACUCUCCAAAUGCCGAGCCUCGCGCCCGGCAAUGGCCUCCUCGCGUUUCGCGAGUUGCUCGCCCAGCCGGCACAAGGCCACCUCACGGCGGUUCACCUCGGCUUCGCGCUCGGCGAGUGCGACGUCCCGUUCCUGGCACGCCUCUUCCCGGAGCCGUAGCUCCUCCGCGUGGCGGUCCGCUGAAGCUGUCGCGGUGAGGGUGAUCCGGUCACGCUCGGCUACGGCCUCUUCACGAAGGCGAAGGGAGACCUCCACCUCCACCGCCGUUCUCUCGUGGGCGGCCAAGGUGGACUCCCGCUGAUCUAGCAGACGCUCUCGGUCCUCCAGCGCCUAAGCCUGUCUCUCCAGCUUCUGGGCUCGCUGCGCCUGCUCCUGGCCGCGCACGUUUUGCUCGCGCUGGAUCCGGUCGAGGACCUCGAUUCGCCAGCGAAUCGUUGUCUCAAACUCCUGCGCGGAGCGGGCACGCUCAUCCAAGGCCCUGCGUUCAGCCUUGAGCGCCGCCGUCCGGGCCCACAGCGAGGCGUCGGCCUCCGAUACCCGCCGCUCCUGGGCAGCAGCUGCGUCGAGGAUACCGCGGGCGUCCUUGAUCCUCUUUGCCCGGUCCUCGGCAUGGGCCUCAUGCUGUAGGCGGAUGUCGCCCAGUGCUUCAUCCAGGACGCUUGAGGCAAUCAGCGCCGCCUGCCGCUCUUCCUCCGUCUCCCGCAUGACAGAGUCCAGCGUCUCCUCGCGCGCUUGGAUUUCGGCUAGUUGGGCUUGACGCAUUUUGCGUCCCACCCUCACCAUGUCGUCAACGGCGCGGCGCCCCUCGUCAACUUGCACGCGGUCCGCAGCGAGUUGUGCCCACUCUGCCUCCAGGGCUGCUCGCUCUUCCACCAGGGCUUGAACAUGGGCAUUGAGCCCCUCCCGUACGGUGGAACCGGCGGCGGCGAGCACCUGCAGGAGCGGCUCCAUACUUGCCGGAGUCGGAGAAGAAAAAGUCGCGGUCCGCCCCCGAGACGACGGAGUGCUGCUGGAUCCCCCGCGAGACUGGGGCUGCCCUCGGCCCCCUUCUGCGCGACCAGCCCCGAGGGCGCCCCAAGUGCAAGGGGGAGCGGCUGUCCCUCUCGCCCCCCGCCUCGAGUCCUCGGGUAGAUUCGGCCUCGGCCUCGGGCUCGGCCCCGCCCCUAGUUUCGGUCUCGACCUUGAGCCUAGGGCCGCCUCCGGUCGCGGCCUCCGAGCCGCAACCUCCCUCACCCCACGAUCCCGGGUGGCGCUCCGCAUGAACCCUGGUCUCGGAGCCACCUCCGGGAGGGACGUCACCGCCGCUAUCGCCCGCAACGGGUCGAGCCCCAGCUAGGGUUAGCUCGGGGUCGGACCCGGUAUGCGGAGUCCAGGCCCAGCACCCGCCAAAUCACCAUCUUCGCGUCCUCCUCCCCCAGUCCCAACACUCAACCACAUGCAUGCGCAUGGGGUCGUUGGGACUAGUGUACACCCACGCGCCACGGGAUCGAUCCUGGAGUGGUGCGAUGCAGUGACGGAAAUAGUCACCAAAGACCAUCGCCCCUGUGAGGCCCAGGCUUCGCAGGCCCCUAAGGCGAUCCCACACUGCGUCGUACUCCUCGCCCAGUUCCGAAACCGCCAGCCAUGCGGCGGAUCUUUCGGGAGGACCGGCGGGAAGCCGAAGUCGCGGGUGGUCCGGCAACGCGGUGUAGAGCCAGUCCUUCUUCCAGUCCUCCCAUUUCUUGCGGAGAUGACUCUCGAUGUAUUGCCCCGCCGUGCCUGGCCGGGGCUGGAAGUAACAUCCCCCUACCACCGCACCUUGCAGCAGCUGCGGGAUGAAGAAAGACUGGAACAGCCGCAUCGUCGGCCGCACCCCGAUGAACAUCUCGCACAGAUGCGUGAAGAUGGCCAGCGUCAUCAUGGCAUUGGGUGCGAGAUGCAAGGCAUGGAUUUCAUGGAAGUCCAAAACCUCAUGGAAGAAUCCGGAUAACGGCGGAAUCAACCCCGCCAUAGCGACGGACAAGAGGUGCACGGAUCGCUCCGGAUACCGCGGCCGUGGCCGCGACUCCCCCGCCCUCGCGACGGCGUCUUCCGGCAUAAUCUUGCGGGGGAGGCUAAGGUGCCUAUCCACCAUAAUGCGUGAUGCCGGGAGCACUGUGUCACCAGUGUCUUGAGCCAUGAUGGCCGGCGGAGAAGCGGCGGAGGGCUUGGCGUGCGGAAUAGUGUGAAGCGGUGAGAAUGUUAGGGCUAAAGGAGCGAGAAGACGAGUGGGCGGUUGGCGAAAGGAAGGAGGCAAAGUCCCUGCCUCUGUAUCCUUUUAUCCUCGCCUCACCCACGCUCACCUCCUCGUUUCACGCCCUCACGGUUGCCCCCACGAUUCUCGCGCCUGCGGUUGUCUCUUCGUUUCCCGCGUCCACUCAUCACGUUGCCCAUUGAAUCCGUGCCCCGCCUUUAGUGCACCUAUCAGCGGUACACUCGAAGUAGGGCACGCAACGGUCACGGGCGCAACCUGAGCGAACCGUCACCUCUACCGCCGCAUGAGUAGCGAGAGAGGGAAUCGAGGCAUGGUCUGACCGACCCCCCGAUUUUCGCGCCUUAAACAUCCUCAUCAUCAGCGUGGUCAGUGGCGGCCAAACCGUUGCUGUGGUUGACACGCCAACUUGGCCACUCGACAACAUUCCCUUAGAUUCCCUGCCGGGCCCACAACCCCAGCUUGAGAAGUCGUGAGGCAACACGUCAGACCGACCUCAGGAGGCCGAUGUCCGAUAUGGUGCCGGGGGCUAAUGUCGGAGAUAUGGGCCCGGGGGCAUGCGAAGUAAGGGGAAGUUACCUUCCCAUCCAGCCGCGUGGCUCUACAGCCUGGCCCUACUCCCGCACCUCGCGAGUCACAGAAGCGGCCGUGGGGCCUCGGGGUGCCACGUCGUGCCCCUCGGGCUCUCCCGCUACCUCGCCCCAAGGCCCUCGCCCAGCUGCCAUGUGGCGAGGUGAGUGAGCAGAAAGGGGACCCAGGUUGAACAGCCAUCAAUGCACGGUGCCCCAACUGUCCCUCACCGCGUUUAAUGCGGUAAGGGCAGAUGUGCGAUGCUGCCUAGCUGACCCACGUCAAUCGGACAUGACCAGUCUGUGACCGGCCUGUUGCCGGUCACGUCCGAUUGAACGGGCGGCCGUGCCCCCACGUCGCCUCUGUAUCCGGCGGAGUGGAGGUAGGUAUGACCCAUCCCAUCGGAGCGUCAUUCGGAGGAGGACCACCACAAGUCUUCACUCAUUUAUGAGGGAAUGACAGGGCUGUCCCCCGUGUUAGGCGGGGGGCGGCGCUGGGUCCCACUCAAGGACGGGCUGCUGCUUAGCUUCCGGGCGAAGGCACGGAUCGUGGCCCGGUCAAGGUAAAGUGGGUCCCCCUCCCAUGGAAGGGUAGGUAGAGGCGGUGCAUGUGGUAUCCCCUUGAACUAUAAAAGGUGGACCUUGCCCACCGAGAAGGGGGACGACUCUCAGAAAACCUGAACUCUAGGAGAAGAAGGGCGAGAGAGCUCUCCGGAGUGAAGGAAUCCUUGUAACACUUAACCAUAAUCCCAAACACAGGAGUAGCGUAUUACGCUCCACAGCGGCCCGAACCUGUAUAAUCCGAUUGUGUGCAAGCUAGUUAGCAGCCUUAGGGGCGGAUACAUGAUUUCUAAGAGGCGAGCUUCUUCCCUCGGCCGAACCCACGAAAGGGGGGUCUCACGACCUCCCGCUAUCGAGGGACUUCCCUCGACACUUGCUGUUGAAUUAACGUUUUGCUUGCAGGUUUUAGAUUGUCUUUGAGUGAUGUGGGUAUUCGACUGCUUCUUCUGGAACUUGAACUUAAUGGAGUAAACCCCUAGUCGGUUUGCUUGUGGAUUGGGUAGACAAGCUUCCGCUGUUCUAUUAUUUAUUUGGCCAGUCAGCCAAUGUAACUAAAGUAGAUGUAGUGUAUAAUCGCUUUCAUCUUAUUUGUGUUUGCUAUGUAUAACCAUGCUUGAGAUGAAAGUGUGAAUCUAGUGCACAUCCUAGAAACUAGAUUCACAUGAGUAUGAGUUAAGAAUAUUUGAGAUGUUAUAGAUCUUUAGCCAUUUUUGUCAAGUCUCCUGAAUGUGUAACACAUCUGGUCGCCGCCUUCGAGUGGUUCGACGGGUACAUCUCAGGCUGAAGUUGACUGGUAGGCUAAAGGCCCAACAAUGUCUCCAAUAUUCCUCUCUCGAGGCGUCGGAUAUUUCAUUAUGCUUGUUUGAUGACUUGAAUUAUUCAUUUCAUCUCUCAAUUAUAAUGGAAGGUCUGGAGAACCUACAAUACUUAUGCACUACUACGUUAGAGUGAUCAACAUUUUGGGUUGGUCCAAAGGAAAUAAUGAAAUAAAGUGCCAAAAAUGGCACAAUAUUCAGAGAAGCAUACUCUAAUGGUAGACAUGGUUGAGUUGAUUUUGGUCAAUUGUGGUAAAACUACACCUUUUAUUUCCACAUACUGUAGAUAGUUACAGAAACAUAUACACCUUUGUUGAAACUGUAGAAAGUAUAAAUACAAAAAUAAUUGAAAUGUGUCUAUUUGGUAUAGGAAAAAGGUAAUCAAAGCAAUGGAUCAAUUUCUAAUUCUACAAAGCAUGUUGAGUAAUAUAGCAUCACCACCUCAGUACAUAAUAGUAUGCGAACAUAAAAUUACCUGGCUUGGUGAUCACAAAAGCAGCAAUGAAGACAUGUAGAAAUGCGUUAAUCCCUUAUAUAUACAAAACCGUGCGAGUCAUUAAAAUUCCACAUCAAUAUUUGGCUAUCCUGUGAGCCAAGGUGAGCCAAGGUCCAGUGCUCACCUUCACUAUGCUCCCUGGAAUGCCUGAAAAUCAAAAUCGGCAUAAACGCUCAAUGAGAUGUCAAAAACAAUUCCCUGCGCAACAAUAAUAUAUUCUAUAAUUUAACUGAAUAAUAGUUUUGUGGUGUACUAAUUGGUGGGAUAGAAUAGAGCAGUGAAUACUGUCUAGCAACACAACUAAAAUGAGCAUACAUAUGGAGGAAAAAUGGACAACAUUUAAUACAUCCCAAAGAAUUACUUGAGGAAAAUGCAAGAAUAUAAAGCAGUGGCAGGUGGAGCGUUACCAAAGAGGACCACUCAGCUAGAAGCCUGAAAGCCUUUAACCUGAAGUAUACAAAACAGGAUAAGAAUUAGCAGUUAAAGCUUCAUGACAAGCAAUAGCAUCAUUGGAAAAAUAAAAGCACCAAAAAACUGAAGCAAUCGAGAGAAACUGUUGGAAGCAUAAAGUGCUCCCUUGUCAUUAUUAAGCGUACAAAAUCAUGAUUUAUCCACUUACCAUAAUAUCCCAAAGUCAAGAGUAAACGUCUUUGUAUGCAAGAAGGUGGUACUCCUGCACAGGCUAGCAAGCUUAACAAUUAAAAUUGCUAAAAACAAAAAAAAAAGCGGUCGAGUGGCACAACCUUACCUUAAUCUUCGCAAUGCUGAUUUGACGACCGACACUGGCAAGCAGCCCAAACGACGCAAGCGCCCAGCCAGGAGCGGCCAGCGCAGAUUACGAUCGAGUGGCACAACCUUACGACAACAUAGCAAAGAAAUUCCAUGGUAAGAGUUUUUAAUUUCAUGAUGGCCUAAUAACGAUAAGCGUUGACGAAGGUAAUGUCAUAGGGAAAAAUGAGAACUAACCUUGUGGUUGCAUAGUUGUAUAUUUUGCACAACCCAUUAGUGUUUCAUGGCUGAUCUUGUUUGCUUUAGGUAAAUUGCCUUCCAGGUUUCGUAAGAUGCAACCUAUUAUGAACCAAUAUGCAUAGUACCUUACAAAAUGAAUACCAAAGUCACUGUGACAUUCAGUAGGAGAGUAAAAAAAAUAGGAUUAUAAUCUUAGAUCAUAUCAUCACUCUGUAGAAAAUGAAGUAAAAGUAAUGCAUAAAGUAUAGGUACAUUGCAUGCAAAUUUUGUACCAAUCUAGUAGUAAACUCCCUUCAUGGUCCACAAAAGAAUUGAACAAUAGCUCUCAGGAGUAGUUUACGGGAAAGAAAAAUAGAAUACUAUACACAAAAGGUCAGGAAAGGCACCGAGGAGACGGGGACUCCAGGUUUAACCAUCUGGUCUUUAUUUUGUGACGUGGCCAACAACCAUCUCAAGUGUGGUAUAGUUACUGUAUCAUCACACCCUACAUUGGUUCGAUUGUAGAAUUGUCAGUAGAUAAAAUGGUAAACACGCCAUCUAAAUCCUCACAACUAAAUCAUUAUAAAUGAUUGUAAGAAAUAAGAAAGAGGGGGAGUAUCCGAGAGAGUUUGAUAUAUUCCAUCAAGAAAACCGCAACAGCAGCCUCUAGCAGGAGUAGAUGAGGGGAGGAUGAGGUGAGGCGGCAGUGCGCACGGCGGUAAAUAGGGUGCGGGGUAGGUCACGACCGGUGGAGGUGGGGAACAGCGGCAAACAUCAAUUCUUUGGCCUCCUGCGUGUCUCCUCCCAUCGCUGCCGAGCUGCUACUACCCCCACCAGUGAGCUCAACACAGCUGACGACCCUGGAUCUACCACAUCGAACCAUCAACUUUGGAUCUGGAUUAGAGAAAGAGGGAAAGUGUACACAAAGAAGGGUGGGUGAGCAGGGCCAUCACCUGUGGAGCUCACCGCUGGGGAACACCGUCCGGCAUCGACACCGCUAGCGCUUGCCCACUACUUCGAUUGACCAGAUCUGCCAGCAAGGAGGCCGUGGCUGCCGGAUUGGGCACCCACGGCCUCCCCUUCGAGCGGGUGUCGGCGGUGGCGUAGCAAGGAGUGAAAAGCAUCCACAGCAGGGAGGAGAGCAGGAGGCAGCCACGGCGGUGCAUCGCACAGGAGAGGGCGAGAGAGAUGAAAGGGGGCGAUGCAGAAAAGCUAACCAUCUUCCCCUCCUCUCCUUGCCCUCCCUGCCCCUCGGGCGAGCUCUCCUCCUCCCUUCUAGCGCUGCCCGCGGCGGUCGCCGGAGGACGGAGGCAGCGAGGUGUCGCAUCCAACCAGUGGUGAACGUGCACCCGCUUGCCAGCCACACGGUCGGCACCACUUCUUAGGACCUAUUUUUGACAGAGGCCAAAAAAAAAAGAAAAAAAAAGAAACUAAUUUGCUUUCUUGUUUGCUGCCGCUUUGCUCUUGCGCUCCCGCCGUCGCUCUUUACUGUAUGACGAUGUCGUCUUCAUCGGGCACCGUUUCUAUUCCUCGUUGUCCGGUUCUUUCUGAUGGUGUCAACUACAGUCAUUGGGCUCAGCACAUGCAUCUUCACAUGCGUGGUCAGCGUCUUUGGGAUAUUUUGUCUGGUGAGCUGCCCUGCCCGCCUUGCCCCAAUGCUCCUCGUAUGCCACACUUUCCGCUCAGUCUUCUGCCGAAGACAAAGCGAAGGCGCAAGAGGCGUACGAUGAUGCUAUGGAAGAUUAUCAAAAUCAGUAUGCUCUGUAUAAGGCUUGGUUAGAUAAGGAUGCUCGUGCUUCUGCUAUUCUUGUGGCUAAUAUGGAGGUUCAUCUCACUGGUGCUGUGGUUACUCUUGCUUCUGCACAUCUUAUGUGGACACACUUGCGAGACCGUUAUGCGCCUACUUGAGAUGCUCUUUAUCUUGCUAUGGUGCGUCAAGAGCAGUCAUUGCAGUAGGGGGAUGCUACAGUUGAUGAGUUCUAUACACAGUUGACUUCUAUCUGGCGUCAGCUUGAUUCCUUGGGACCAGCGAUCUGCCACACUUGUCAGUGUUGCCAGCAUCAGCGUGCUCACAUGGAUCUUCGUCGCAUCUACGACUUUCUCACAUGUCUUUGAUCAGAGUAUGAGUCAACACGUGCCCAGUUGCUUGCUCGACACCCUCGGGUUACCAUGGUGGAGGCUCUUACAGAUAUUCGUUCAGAAGAGAUUCACCUUCGAGAAGCGGGUAUUCUACCGCCUCCCUCUUCAGUGUUAGCCGUUCGUCCUGAAGCCUCUUCGGUUUCUUCGAAGUCGAGUACAACUCCCUCCUUUACUUCGCCGGCACGUACUUCUCCGGUUGUGUCCUCUACUAGCAGCCAUCUUCACUUCACCUAUUGUGAUAAAGAUGGACAUGUGGAGUCCUUUUGCUUUCGGAAGAAGAAGGAUUUACGGCGUGGUCGUUCCUCACAGGUUACUUCGGGUUCUUCUCAGAAGAGUACUGGAAGUUCUUCUCAAAAGAGGACUGGAAGUUCAGAUACACAACGCAUAAACGUACCACAGGAGUAGACAGAGAUUUUUCGGUUUUUUUUUAACCUUUCCAACUUCAG